AGCAGUAGAGGGGGAAGAACGCAAGCUCGGUAUAACACAUGCUCUGAAGAAUGCUCAUUCUCCAUGGUCCAUAAAUCGGAGGAGAGAAUCUGGAGAACCCGACCUGAGCCCACCCGGAACUCCAUCUUGUGAUUUGAACCAGUAGGUCAUUCAAAUUUGUCGUGGAAGCCCCCAAAAAUUGAGGCCGCGAAGGGCAACAGUACACUGAUUUCCAUCCUUUGCAGUGCAAGGCGAAGCUGGUGAAGAAGUCUUCGGUCACAGAUCCAUACUUGAAACCGACCUGGAGCAAGAGCGACCACGAGCUAAAUAUAGAGGAAAUGGAGUCACUAAUUGCAGCAAAUUACAAGGGUUUUAGGUUAUUUUGUUCUUUUGAUUGUACUUGCCUCUUGACCCCAUUUUGUUCCGUUUUCAUAGUGACAAGAAGCUAAAUGUUCGGUGUCUCUGCAGACUGCUCCCAGUUCGCUGAGAAUGUUCUUAUUAAGCUUGUCGCUCCAGUGAAGAUGUUUAAUAAACUCAUUGGAAUGGCCAAAGAUUGCUUUCAAAUCCAUGAGAUUAGCUGUAGUACCUUUCCAAUCAGCAAGAUAGUUGAUUACAUUGCAUGGAUUUGCUAUCCAAGAUCCUACCUUAACAUAUGGCUAUUUUGACUUACCUUCUUGCAUGGGUUUGCUGUACAAGGACUCUCUCUUAACAUAAAAGCCAGUACCAGAUAUUAAAGGUCCUUGCAACCCGUCCAUUCCACACCAUAAUAUCUGAAAGAAAGCCAAAGUUAUCGGUUAAAAAUGGAUUCAUCAAAAUAAUUUCACAUGUACGAUUUGCUCAAUAAGGCUGAGGAACUAGUAAGUGCAUAAUAAAAAAUUUGAUUACUAUUAUAGUCUUUUUCUCUCACCCCAAAUGGCGAUCUGUGUUUACUGUCGUAGAUGUCGUUCUUGCUGAUAUUAUGGAACGAUUGAGGGAAUUGAACGAAUGAAAGCGAUGGAGACAAUGUCGGGUCCAAGUGGAAGCAGAUUGCCCUCCUCGCCGAGGAUGGGUCGUUGCAAUACAUGUCACAGUCCAGCACUAAUACAUACGGCGAGUUGCUUAUCACCCCCGACACGCGAAGCUGUAAAGGAGGAGCAACAUCGAGUAGUGUGAUCGAUAUUACAAGUACAUAUUAUAUGUAUUUAUGGUGUUCUCUCCCAAGUGAAAAUGCGAAACUUGAGUAGCAUACCAGAACAUUGAGAGCUCCAGCUUUGAAGUUAUGAGGGUAAGAAGGCCUUUUUUCCCUGGAGACGUAAACAAGCAGAGGCAUUUGCUGUUGGUCAGCUUGCACAACUUCGUCUGAGGAAUUUCCAUGGAUCACCUGAAGAAUAAUUUCAAUAUUUUAUGUCUCUUGAUAAAAAAAUCUUGACUAGAGCCUUUUCUUUUGCUCAUCAAGUGGAAUGGAAUGGAACCAAAGAACUAAAAUGGGUCAGAAUCCCACGUGUCAAAAUGGGUUCGAAUCGUAAAGCGAAUGUCCAAGAUUAAUGAUCAAAUCUGUAUUUAUGGAAAAGUUAACACUGCAAAAAAUUUCAAACUAUAUCCACUAUGAUAUAAAUACUCUGACCUUUUUUUAUGUGUCAUUAAAAAUCUUAAAUUUGUCCAUAAUGACACAAAUACCCUAAACUUUCUUUUAUGAUAUAAUACCACGAAUGAAAUUGAAAUAGAUGGUAUAUAUGUCACAUAUGUAUAAGCUUAGGUUUCUUCAUAACACAAAAAAAAAUUGGGGAUAUUUGUGUUAUAGUAGUCAAGUUUAGGAUUUUUUAUGAUACAAAAAAAAAUAAAUAAAUUUGGGUUGUGUGCCACAAGGGGCAUAGUUUGGCACUUUAUUGUGGUAUUUGUCCUUUAUGGAACGAAAAGGAACAAUUGCACAACAUAAGCUUGUACUUUCGAAGUAGUAUAUGUUAAUAUAAACUUAUAUUUUGUUACAACUAUUAAUCAUUUGGUUUUUUAAUUAGCAUGAGUAAUACACAUGGCUUUUGAGGUGUAUUACUCAUGCUAAUUAAAUAUCUCUCUUACCCUUAAUAGCUGUAAAACCGACAAAUAUAUAAAAAUGGGUGAAAAUUAAAUUAACUGAAAUACUUAUAUAGAAAAAUAAAUAUUUGUUAAAUUCAAUGAAUAUAGCCAAAUUAUUAGAACUAAAUGAGGUAUUUUAAGAAAAAGAAUAAAAAUUAAAUAAAAGGCAGAUUGUCUUGAUUGGAAAAAGGUCAAAUGACAAAAAUUAUUUACUUAUUAUCUAUAUUUAAGGGUUGAGCUAAUGUAAAAAAUAUCGGCCAACAAAAAACUAUAAAAAAUCAUAAAGAAUAAUUUCCUAGACUUGACAAAACAUUAGUAAAGUUAUUUUAUGAUGCAUUUGGUAAUUAUACAAGAUUUAUAUACUUGGAACAAGAAAAGAACAUAAAUGCAUUCGGUACAACCCUAAAAAAAAUUAUUACAAUUUUUUCAUUUAUUAUAAAAAUGUCAGUGGAGACUUAAACAAUUCAUGUCUGAAUAAAUUGGACUUUUGUAAGGAUUUAACUAAUCAAGAUAUUCUAAGAUAGCCUCAGAAAAUCCAAUGUAAUAAUUAGUCAAAGAUAGAUGGUUGAAAAUAGUAGUAGAGAGUCAUACUGGUUUAUAACUCACAAUAUGAACAAAUUGAUAAUAAACCUUUGGGUAUUACAAUAAACAAAUAUAUAGACCUUUUGAAUUUUUUUAGCUGCAAGAAGAAGAGCAAACGUUGAUUGGAAAAAUGGGCAAGGACGAAACAACUGAGAAUGAAGGCGAUUCUAAAGUUGGUGUGCUUAUUUGCAUAAACUUAUCAGACCUUCAAGCAAAUGACAUUGGAAAUUCAUGGAGCACAAGCUUAUUAGACUACUAUGAAAAGAAGACAAAUGGUGAUGCAAAAAAAUUUCUCAGAGCAUCUAAUUUUUAUUAAAACAAAAUUGCAGAUGAUCUUAAAAGAUGUCUAUAAUAGAAUCUUAAGGGAAUGAGAUAUAUUCUUUCAGUGGAGUUGCCAAGCUGUCAUAACCUAGUAUUGUCUUUUGAAGAUAAUGGCAUUAAAAAAAAAAAUCCAUAUGGUAAAAUUCUAAGAGCUUAUUCAAUUUUGAAUCCAAUUUUCACCAAAUGAUUUUCACAUUUUUUUGUUAAAUUAAUUCCAAACUAGAAUUAAUACUAAAAUCUAGUAAAACAUUCAAAAUCUAAUUUCUAAAUUUUCUCCUAAAAUUUUGAUUUUUUUAAUUUUUUAAUGGGGACUUGGAUUGGGUCAAGAGACCCGGUCAGGAUGUGAGUCUUACCCAGACCUUAUGUUGAUUGUGUAAAGAGGAGCAUUAGAUUAUGCUGAGGUUGUUCCUCUAAAAUAACCUUAUUUCUCCUUUUGUUCUCGAGAAUAAAAAAGUAGAUUUUUUUUUUUUACUUCUUGUUUUUAUUGCAAAUCUAUUCCCUAACUAUUUUUAUUUUAUUUUAUUUUGAGGAAUAGAAAAAUUAAUCAACAUACACAAACAAAUUUAUGUUCUUUUUAAAUUAUGGAUAAUAAAAGAACAGAAAAAUAGAUAAAUACAAACAUAACCAAACGCGCUAUAAAUGACUAAUCAACAUUUAAGGUGAUUUAAUAAUUUUAUUGAUCAACCAUAUUUUGCAUAAAUGAACUAUUUAAAACUACAUAAUGAGUAUCCAUUUUUUGUCCAUUUGACUUUUUGGUAUAGGCCUUUUGUCCUGUAAACUUAAUUAUUUUGUUUUUCUUAAAAUAUCCUAAUAGUUUUAUAAAUAUAUCAUCAAUUUCUACCAACUAUUACUUUUAAAUAAAUUUUGGUGAAAUUACUUUCUCUCCACUUUCUUUAUUUUGUCUCUUUUUUUUGUAGAAAAAUAAAAGCUAAAAAAAUUCUAUCCAAAAAAAUGAGAUGAAAAUAUGCAUUUGCCCCUUAAUAGUCGCGUGCGCUACACAUGCUAACGAAAAAUAUGGAAGCUUCGUGGGGAUAACGUGUGAUGGUUGAAAGUUAUGGGCAAACAUGUACUCCCCAAAGUUCCGUGGAGUUUUGUGUAAUAUCUCACCAAAAAAAAAAAAAAAAUACCUCAAUGGUAGAUGGAUGAUCCAGCCUCCCAUCCCGUGAUUCACCAUAGUUCCUGUUUCUAUAUCCAUUUAUAUGCGCCUCGAACAAUUCAUACUUCUCCUUUAAAAAAGUAAAUAAUGAAGUUACAUCACUUUAAUCGACAUAUACCCUUUGUCGAUUCCUUUCAAAUCGGAGAUUAUGGCUAAUCGAACUUUGUUGCGAAAGGUUUUCCUGUCCCAGAAUCGUACUUUGAUUUUCUCAACCCAGAAGUCCCGCUUGAACCCAUCUAAACGUAGCUAGAUCAUAAAGAAAAUCUGAAAUUUUCAAAUCAAGGGGCGAGUCUAAGCAACUACUUUAUGGCCUAGUAUCCAACCGAACACGUCCAUUAAUUAAAUCUACUUUGAACCAAGAAAUAUGCGUUAAUGACAACAUUAGGGACAUUCUAGGGGUACCAUAAAUUUAGCAGAUUUCUGUACUGAGUCGUGUGGCAUUAGAUAUGAUAUGUCUUGAUUAAAUACUUAAGUAGUUCGGUCUUAUAGCUUGGCCAGAGACGGUAGGGAGUGUGUCGUCGGAGAGCAUCUUGGACAUGGGGCGUGAAGCGGGAGGGAGGUUGAUUUUUUUCAUUAGUUAUAGAAUACAUCAGCAUAAAGAACACAUUUACUGGCUAUUAUAUUCUNNNNNNNNNNNNNNNNNNNNNNNNNNNNNNNNNNNNNNNNNNNNNNNNNNNNNNNNNNNNNNNNNNNNNNNNNNNNNNNNNNNNNNNNNNNNNNNNNNNNNNNNNNNNNNNNNNNNNNNNNNNNNNNNNNNNNNNNNNNNNNNNNNNNNNNNNNNNNNNNNNNNNNNNNNNNNNNNNNNNNNNNNNNNNNNNNNNNNNNNNNNNNNNNNNNNNNNNNNNNNNNNNNNNNNNNNNNNNNNNNNNNNNNNNNNNNNNNNNNNNNNNNNNNNNNNNNNNNNNNNNNNNNNNNNNNNNNNNNNNNNNNNNNNNNNNNNNNNNNNNNNNNNNNNNNNNNNNNNNNNNNNNNNNNNNNNNNNNNNNNNNNNNNNNNNNNNNNNNNNNNNNNNNNNNNNNNNNNNNNNNNNNNNNNNNNNNNNNNNNNNNNNNNNNNNNNNNNNNNNNNNNNNNNNNNNNNNNNNNNNNNNNNNNNNNNNNNNNNNNNNNNNNNNNNNNNNNNNNNNNNNNNNNNNNNNNNNNNNNNNNNNNNNNNNNNNNNNNNNNNNNNNNNNNNNNNNNNNNNNNNNNNNNNNNNNNNNNNNNNNNNNNNNNNNNNNNNNNNNNNNNNNNNNNNNNNNNNNNNNNNNNNNNNNNNNNNNNNNNNNNNNNNNNNNNNNNNNNNNNNNNNNNNNNNNNNNNNNNNNNNNNNNNNNNNNNNNNNNNNNNNNNNNNNNNNNNNNNNNNNNNNNNNNNNNNNNNNNNNNNNNNNNNNNNNNNNNNNNNNNNNNNNNNNNNNNNNNNNNNNNNNNNNNNNNNNNNNNNNNNNNNNNNNNNNNNNNNNNNNNNNNNNNNNNNNNNNNNNNNNNNNNNNNNNNNNNNNNNNNNNNNNNNNNNNNNNNNNNNNNNNNNNNNNNNNNNNNNNNNNNNNNNNNNNNNNNNNNNNNNNNNNNNNNNNNNNNNNNNNNNNNNNNNNNNNNNNNNNNNNNNNNNNNNNNNNNNNNNNNNNNNNNNNNNNNNNNNNNNNNNNNNNNNNNNNNNNNNNNNNNNNNNNNNNNNNNNNNNNNNNNNNNNNNNNNNNNNNNNNNNNNNNNNNNNNNNNNNNNNNNNNNNNNNNNNNNNNNNNNNNNNNNNNNNNNNNNNNNNNNNNNNNNNNNNNNNNNNNNNNNNNNNNNNNNNNNNNNNNNNNNNNNNNNNNNNNNNNNNNNNNNNNNNNNNNNNNNNNNNNNNNNNNNNNNNNNNNNNNNNNNNNNNNNNNNNNNNNNNNNNNNNNNNNNNNNNNNNNNNNNNNNNNNNNNNNNNNNNNNNNNNNNNNNNNNNNNNNNNNNNNNNNNNNNNNNNNNNUGAAGGCCGCACCUGUCACCAUCAUGUCAUACAUAUAUCAUGCCUCAUGUACGCAUACCAUCGUGCCAUAGGUGCACAUACAACCAUGCACUCAUCAUCAUCAUGUCAUACAUGUACCAUCAUGCCAUAGGUGCACACACAAUCAUGCACUCAUCAUCAUCAUAUCAUACAUGUACCAUCAUAUCAUAGGUGUACACACAACCAUGCACUCAUCAUCAUCAUAUCAUACAGCCAUGCAUAUGCAAUCAUACCAUAUGUAUAUGAUUCAAUUUCCACUUUUUAUCUUUCAAUUUGAUCACCACAUCUUUCUUUCUCGGGAUCAGUAAUUGCAUUCCACGUUCUAUCACUCGCACCCCAACCUGGCAUCGCGAGAAACCUCCAGCACACACCACCGGGCAUCCGGCACCCCCACAUUCCAGGCAUCUCGCAUCCCAACUGGCAUCACGAGGCAUUCCCCGGGCACAAACCUCCAAGGCUUCCGGCACCCAACCAUUCCGGGCAUCUUGAAACUCCCGAGGACAUCUGGGCAUGUAUCUCAAUACAACCGGGCAUCCGGUUCCCCCCAUCCCGGGCAUCUUGACACUCCCAAGGCAUUAUCGGCCCACCUCCAACAGUUUCCUCAUUCAUCAUAAUUCAUAUUCACCAAUUUAUGUCUCACAAUCAACAUGGCACAUGAUGUAAUGGCAACAAAGUCAAAUUCAGCAUUUGAUUCUAUAUGCAAUGCCCAAUGUCAUCACAUGCUCAGCAAGAUUCAAUCACCUCAAUCAAUAUAAUUAAUAGGGCUCAUCCAAAACAGAAUAAUCAUAAAUUUAAGCAUUUGGAAUUCGCACAAUCCAGCUUGCACAGUUUUAGAAAAUAUUUCCAUUAAAUACCCAAAUGGCCUUUAAAAAUUAUGAAAUUGGAACAUGUGAUAGUCAAGACAUAAUGGCAGAUAUUUCAUAAAGGACACUGCACCAAAAGACCCUCAUACAAUUUGAUAUAGAUCACGCAUCACAGCAUUUCUAUUCUAUCAAUACAGCUUGCAUAGUUUUUGAAACAUUUUUGGUUAAAUAGGAAAAUGAACUUCAAAAAUUAUGAAAUUUGAAUAUGUUGCAGGAAGAAAUAAAUAAAUAUACUUCAUGAAGAAAAUUUUGCCGAAAGAAUUUUAUGAAAAUGAUAUGGCCACGCACUGAAACUGACUANNNNNNNNNNNNNNNNNNNNNNNNNNNNNNNNNNNNNNNNNNNNNNNNNNNNNNNNNNNNNNNNNNNNNNNNNNNNNNNNNNNNNNNNNNNNNNNNNNNNAUCCUAAAGUAUAUUUUUCAUGAAGUAAUCAAAGUCAGAUUCGUCCUAGAUAAUUAAAUAUAGGCGGGUAAAACUUCUGUUCCUAGUACCGAAAUUUCCAGAUUCAACACCCUCCGAAAAACCACGAUUUCACCUUGCUAUUCUUGUUGGUUUUCUCUAAUUUUUUUAUAUGUUAAAUAUCAAGAUUUCCUUUACAACUUUUGUUAAGAGAUAAAAGUGAUAUUUUCACAAGAAGUUUACUUUACAGACCACGAAACUGCUGAAGGUCGGCACAACGAGUUCCAGAGGGGAGUCUCUCCGAAAAAUGAAGAUUUCACCUACUUAUAAUUGUUUUUUUUGUCUAAAAUUUGAGUAUGUUAUAUUUAAAGAUGUCCUUAACAACUUUCAUUUAGAAGUCACGGUCAAAAUCCAACUCAAACAACACGUGCAAGCCAAUAGAACAUUCAAGGUCAAACUGUUUUCUCAAGAACAGUUUUCUAGUAUCAAACAUCCCUCUUAGAACUUCGACUUUUAUCACCCUAAACAUCCGAAAUCUAUCACCAUUCAAGCACACAUGCUAGACACAACAUGCAAGAGCAGAUUAAGAAUCCCAACUUGCCUCCAAACCGAGCAAACACGAGCACACGGUGACUGGACACGGCGACGACGAGCGACGGACGAGCGGCUUCCUUCUUCUUCGCACUCUCACUCUCCCUUUCUCUCUCGAUUUCUCUCUUUCUCUUAGUAACUCUCUCUCCCUCUCUCUUCCUUCGGACGAAGCCCUCUCUCUCCCUCUCUUUCUCGCUUAAGCUGGCCUCAUCAUCCCCUAAUUUCUUCCCCUCAAUCAUUAGCUAUGAUUAGGCAUGCAUGAAGGACACUUGGCACACUUCAAAGGACAAGUGGGGGAGGGCAUGCAAAACCGGUCUCUUCCCCUCCCCUCAUCGUGCGAUCGACAGCCCUUUAUGGGCUCGAUGGGCCGGCCAGCUUGGCCCAUCUUAGGCCCAUCCCUCUUGGGCCUAAGACCCAAGUUUAAUUAACCUAAUAUUAACCCUUUUAAAAACUAAUUAAAUCCCUAUUUAAUUAAAGCACUAAAUUGCAAAUUAAGAUAACUAUAUACUUGAAAUUAUAAAUCUAUAAGUUCCCAUUUAUCAUACAUAUAGCCAAAGAUAAAACUUCCUUUCCAAAAUUCAUCCAUUAAAGACUUGGCCAUACAUCUCAUCACAAAUCAUGGAUUAGAAGGCUAUAAAGUACAAUAUCAGUAUUUCCAUCACCUAUCCAUGGUUCAUGGCAUAUUCAGGGAUUUUUAUGAAAUUCUAGGAUGCCACAGGUCCGACCGUUGACCGGUCAACGGUCGGGUCGGAUCUCGGGUCGGUUCGAGUCACGGGUCGAGGUCAAUCCAAGCCCUAGAUCAAGCACGAGUGGACCAAGAUGUGACGCUUAGGUCGAUUAUGAUAUAGCUAGUAUGAGUACCUAGAGGGGGGGUGAAUAGGUGCCUAGACAAUUUAUCGAUAUAUGGAAGCAAUUCUUAACAAAAUGAAAUACGAUCGAGGUAUAGAGAGAGAGAAGAUUGAACACAGGAUUUAUAGUAGUUCGGCUUAUUUCAAGCCUACGUCCACUCUUCCGCACUGACAGCCCACCGGCUGGAUUUCACUAUGAUCAAAAGAGAAGUUACAGCAUAGCUUUGCCUUGAUUCCACAGUGUGGAUGUUUUAUCACACUUCCUCAAGGUCUCUCACAAAUAUAGACUCUCUUUUGUAUACAAGUAUUCGCUCAAAGGAAUUGUCUAAACAAAUAGGAACUUCAGACUUUGGAAUUCUUCUAUCGCGCACACCUCGAACAACUAAGAACAUCUUCCUUAUAUACUCCUUUAUGCCAUCAUACCCGUUGGCACUUACCAAAGGAAUUCCUCCAAUCUACCCGUUGGACGGAAUCAAUUAGGAAGAUUGUUCGAGCUAUUAAAGGAACGUGUUGAUAGCCCAUCAAUCCUGUUCGCCCAUACAAUCAGGAUCUCGGUUUCCAUAAGUAGAACCUUCCAAUAAUAAUUAGACAAUCAUCGAAUCUUCAGUCAUUGAAUCAAUCUUGAUCAAUCAAAGGAUUCUGAUACGUCUUCUCCAGCCACGAGAUCUUCUCCUGAUGAUAAGGAUAAAUCCUGAACAAAACAUCAAGUUCUGGAUAACCUUUCUUCAACGGAUUAGAGACUGUCAAUGAGGAUAGACUUUGAGUCUUGAGUCUGGCUGUCCGGAAGUCUUCAGACUUUAACUAACAGAGUCUGCUGACCUUCAGACUAGACUGAUGGAAACGUUUUGUCAACUUUAAAACACUUCACGAGGAUUUCUCCAACAAUCUCCCCCUUUUUGAUGGUGACAAAACCUUCCUGCAGAUUUGGAUAACUUUGACCUGCAAAACAUUUCUCAACCACAUAUGCAUAUCUUAUAGAAAUAAAUGGCUAAUAGAAUAACACUAGAAUCUGCAACCACAGAAAAUAGGUUAGUCCAGUAUAUGAUUAAGCCCAUUCAUAAGAUAUCAAUAUUGAUUAAUAAAGCAGUAAAAGUCAAGUCCAAGUCUAGGCAGUUCUUAUCCCAGACACAAAACAAAGUCAAAGUCUGUCAAAAACAAACAGACAGUUAAACACAAUCCAACAAACAGUUAAAAAGAUUGAAAGUUUUGAUCAAUCAUGCAUCUCUCCCCUUUUGUCAUCAUUUAAAAAGGAUGAGAUGAAAUCAAGAUUGCUUGGGAACGCGGACAAGCUGGAAAUCUUCCAUAGACUGAACAAUGCCUUCCAGCCUUUUAAAGUCUUCCUUCAGCUGUACAACCUCCUCACUCUUGGCAUUGGCCUGAUUCUGAAUAGAGAGGGCUUGCAUCUUAUCAUUCAAUGAACAGGAAGAAGUUUGACUUUCAGUCUUCAAACUUUGAACUUCGCAUCCCAAGGCAUAAAUCUGACCUUUCAUCUCCAAGAGAAUAUCCAUGAUUCUGCGAAAAUCUGCUCCAUUGUCAGUCUGAGUACUUGCUUCAGCUCGAUCUACAGGUGGAGAAGAGAUUUCCUCAGGUUCUCCUUCUUCUCUUCUUUCAGGUCUUUCUUCCUCUGCUUCUUGCUCUGUUUCUCUUUCUUCUUCUUCCUUCUCCUCUGCUUCUCUUUCUUCUUCUUCCUUCUCCUCUGCUUCUUUCGUCUUUUGUUCCGAUUCUUUCUGUGGAACAGGACGACCUAAAUUCUUCAAGGCCAUUGCAGAGAUGGUGAUGUCUUCGUCAUCAUCUUCAUCCUCAACGAGGAGAGCUCUUCUUCUUUUUGAUGAAGCAGCCAUGGGCUCCUUCCCUUUUCUCUUAGCAGCAGAAGAGAGAUGAUGAGAUUUGGCAGGAGUCUUCUCCUUGAAUUUCUCCAAUUCCUUGCUCAGUUCCUUCAGACGCAUUUUGGUCACCAUUUUCAGUCCUACCACCAUAUGAUCGCAUGAUCGAACACAAAAGAUUUGCGGAGGCUGAAUAUUCAGAUGUCUGAAUAACUUUGUAACAAGGCUUGGGUAAGGGAGUUGACCUCUGUCCUUCAUCACUGCUCUAUACAUGUGAAACAUAACAGAAUGAGGGAGAGAAAACUUCUUACCACAGAGGAUGGCAUACAUCAACUUUGCCUCAGAGCUUGAAACAUCAGUUUUGGAAGUUGAUUUCGGCCGAAGGCAAUUUAUCACAAUCUUGUGGAGCAAGAUGUUGAAUGCAUUCAUCCGUGAGUAGGUGAUCUUCUCAUCUGUUCUCCUGUCCUUCACCAGUUCAAGUGUGGCCCCAGCAAUGGAAACUUUGAUUGGUUGAUAUCUGCCUCUCUCAACUUCUAACACAUCUGCCAGCAUGUCCAUAUCCACAACAUAGUCUUGAUCUUUAACGCUGAAGGAGAAUCUAUUCGCAUCCAAAAAGCUAAGAUUUGAAUAGAAAUAUGCAGUCAAUUCAGCAUAAGCCUCAGUUGAGUCAGAGCAAAACUUUUCAAGUUGAAGAUAACUGAACUUUUCCCUCAAGUUCACUUUCACAGCAUCCAGAAAAUCAAAGUCCACACUUCUAGGGUUUAUUACCCCACGCUUCAGCAAUUUCGAGUACAGAUUCUUUUGUUCCUUUGAUCUGAACAAAUCUCCCCUUUUUCUUUGAAUUUCAGCCGCAAUACCCAUUUUCGGUUGAAAUAGACUGAACAGAUUGUCAUCGUCAUUCCCAUCUACAGGAUUCGGUCCCCAGUCACGAGGAUCACUUGGGAUAUUCGCAAGGGUUUCCUCAGCCACCCCUUUACGAGCGAUUCCCAUACUUUCCAUUUUUCGCAGAAAGAUAUAUUCGUUCCUAUAUCCUUUGUCUCUAAGAAACUCAUCAACAUAGUUCAAAGGAGUACGAAUUCCUUUUAAGGCACGAUAUAGCUUGUAAAUAAAAGCGGGCUUUUGAACUCUUACGGGGUCUGCAUCCUCGAUGAUUUCUUCUUGAUUCUGAUGAACAACGUCUUGAGGACUAGAUGGAGAAGACUGACGCUGCUGAGAAUGUUGUGGGCUCGGUUGCUGAUUUGGAGUAACUUCAUCUUCAGUAAGAUCGAAGUGCGUAGGCCCCUCGCUCAUUCUCUGUGGUCCCCUGCUUGCGAUUCUUGAGGACUUUCGUGAAGAUGACAUCUUUCUCAGUGAUUGGAAGUUUCCUUGCUUGACUUUCCCAGAAAAGAUGACAACUUUUUGAAGAUUGAGCGAAGAAGACAAACGGGAAUUGAGGAUCGAUGCUUUCUAGGGUUUUUGAGAGUAAAAUGAAUAGAAAAGUGAAGAGAAAUCAACAGUGCACAAACGGUUAAAAAGAAGAGUAAAUGAACCGUCACAAAGGAAAUAAAAAUAUGCCUUUUUAAAAUAACUGUCUUUAUCCGCAAAAAUAGUUAUUUCAAAAAUAACUUCCCUUUUGAAAAUGAAUCAAUGCAAUAUUUACGUUAAUUAAAUAUAGCAACAAUUUAAACACAGCCUGAUGAUCGUACCUUUUCAAGAUAAGAUUGGAGAGAGAAAGACUUACAGUCUGAAGGUCGAGCCAAGACAGUAGAUAAAGUCUUGCUAGCCUGAGUCUGACAGUCUUUAGACUUUGAUAUCCUCAUACCUCAAAAUGUUGAGUCUAGAGCGUAUAGACUCAAAUUGAUUUUUCUCCAAAGGCUUUGUGAAUAUAUCCGCCAGUUGAUUCUUUGAGUCAACAAAAUGAAUUGAAACAUCUCCAUUUUGAACAUGGUCUCUUAUAAAGUGAUGUCGGAUCUCGAUACGCUUUGCUCUUGAGUGGAGAAUUGGAUUUUUGGUGAGGUUGAUAGCGCUUGUGUUGUCGCAAUUAAUCUCCGUGCAUGAGUCUUCAAUUUCAAAAUCUCUUAGCUGUUGUUUUAUCCAUAGAAUUUGCGAACAGCAGCUUCCAAGAGCUACAUACUCUGCUUCAGUUGUUGAAAGAGACACAGUGCUUUGUUUCCUUGAAAACCAAGACACUGUCUUGCUUCCAAGCAACUGGCAAGUUCCUGAAGUGCUCUUUCUAUCAAUUCUGCAACCGGCCAGAUCUGCGUCUGAAUAUCCCAGAAGAUUAAAGUCUCCCUUCUUAGGAUACCAAAGACCGAUGCUUGAUGAUGAAGCCACGUAUUUAAUGAUGCGUUUCGCAGCACUGAGAUGAGAUUCUCUAGGAUCUGAUUGAAACCUAGCACAGAUGCAAACACUCAACAAAACAUCAGGUCUAGAGGCAGUAAGAUAAAGAAGUGAUCCAAUAAUGCUCCUGUACAGCUUUUGAUCAACUUUCUUCCCAUCUUCAUCUUUGUCUAUCUUUAAAGAACUUGACAUUGGAAUGUCGGUCUUUUUGCACUUUUCCAGUCCAAACCUUUUGACAAGAUCAUUAACAUAUUUUUCUUGAUAAAUAAAAGUUCCUUCCUUCAAUUGUUUUACUUGAAGACCAAGAAAGAAUGUUAAUUCUCCCAUCAUACUCAUUUCAAAUUCAUCCUGCAUAGACUUAGAAAAUUUCUUGCACAGAUUUUCAUUAGAGGAUCCGAAAAUAAUGUCAUCCACAUAUAUUUGAACAAGUAAGAAACUUUUGUUUUCCUUUUUGAUAAAUAAGGUCAUAUCUACUUUACCUUUGACAAAACCAUUUUGUAUUAAAAACUUACUUAAUCUGUCGUACCAAGCUCGGGGUGCUUGCUUUAAACCAUACAAAGCCUUUUUCAGUCUGAAGACUAAGUCUGGCUUCUUUGGGUCUUCAAACCCUGGUGGUUGUUCCACAUAAACUUCCUCAUGGAUAAAUCCAUUUAGGAAGGCGCUUUUGACGUCCAUUUGGAAUAACCUGAAAUUCUUAUAACAAGCAAACGCAAGUAAUAGUCGAAUAGCUUCUAACCUUGCCACUGGAGCGUAAGUCUCAUCAUAGUCUAUUCCUUCUUCUUGCGUAUAUCCCUUGGCCACGAGUCUUGCUUUAUUUCGUACGACUUUUCCUUUCUCGUUCAUCUUGUUUCUGAAAACCCAUUUAGCUCCAAUAACAGUUUUACCUUUUGGUUUGGAUGUCAAUUCCCAGACAUCAUUUAUGCUGAACUGUCUGAGCUCUUCUUGCAUAGCUUUAAUCUAGCUUUCAUCAGAUAAAGCUUCUUCUAUGCUCUUUGGUUCAAUUUCAGAAACGAGUGCCACAGCACUAGACUCUUCUCGCCUUUUGGAUCUGGUGCGAAUUCCUUCAUUAAUUUCGCCGAUUAUAAGAUCUUUGGGAUGACUGGACUUAUGCUUCCAGUUACUCGUUGAUUUGUCUGGUUAAUGAUCUCUUUCUUUGUUUGGAUCUUCAUGAACAUCUUGAAGCUGGUUUUCCAGAGUCUGAGAUCCUUCUUGAGUUGUAGACUUUGGAGGGUCUGGAGCAGGUUCAGACUCUUCUUGAUGAGUCUGACUUGAUUCAUCUUGUGUUGAGUCUUGAAAUUUGACAUUCAUUGACUCUUCCACAGUCUGGCUCUUCUUGUUAUAGACUCUGUAGGCUUUGCUUGAUGUAGAAUAUCCAAGGAAGAUACCUUCAUCUGAUCUUUCUUCAAACUUACCAACUCGAUCUUUUGCAUUUUUCAAUAUAAAACAUUUGCAACCGAAUACAUGAAAGUAUGAAACAAUAGGCUUCUUUUCUUUGAAUAACUCAUAAGGGGUUUUCUGAAGAAUAGAUCUUAAGAAGACUCUAUUGAUGAUAUAGCAUGCUGUUGAAACAGCUUCAGCCCAAAAUCGAGAAGAAAUUUUACUUUCAAUUAAAAGAGUUCUAGCCAUUUCUUGAAGAGAUCUGUUCUUUCUUUCCACAACUCCAUUUUGCUGAGGAGUAUAUGGAGAGGAAAACAUAUGCUUACAGCCAGAUUCAUCACAGAAUUUUGUAAAAUCUUGAUUUUCAAAUUCACCUCCAUGAUCUGUUCUUAUACUAGAGAUAACACAUCCUUUUUCAUUUUGAACCAUUUUAGCAAAUUUUUCAAAAUACGAAAAGGUUUCGGACUUACUUGUAAGGAAAUAUACCCAAGUAAAACGGGAGUAAUCAUCAACAAUUACUAGGCAAUACUUCUUACCCCCAAUACUCUGAGUUCUGGUUGGUCCGAAGAGAUCCAUAUGCAGCAAUUGUAAUACAUGAUUAGUAAAGACAUGAUUUAUUGGCUUAAAUGAAUUUCUUACCUGUUUUCCCAGAAUACAUGGAGUGCAUGAAUCAGUCUUUUGGUAUGGCAGUUUGGGUAGACCUCGAACAAGCCGCUUUGAUGAGAUUUUGGCUAAUUGCUUCAUGUUGACAUGACCGAGCUUUUUGUGCCAUAAGCUUGCUUCGUCUUGAAUUGAGAUAAGACAUUGCGAUUCAUUUGGUUUCACAUCCAGAAGAUAGAUAUUUCCAUGUCUUCGACCCAUGAAAGACUAAGUAGAGUCUUUACUGAUUCCAGAACAUGUUCCUUCUUGAAAGAAGAUCUUGAAACCAGUAUCACACAAUUGACUAAUGCUGAGAAGAUUGUAAUUGAGUCCUUCCACUAAGGAAACAUUACUUAUUGUGAGAGUUCCAAUUUUCACGGUUCCAAAUCCCACAAUACUUCCUUUGCUGUUUCCUCCAAAUGAAACUUUUCCACCAUUUACUUGAGCAAGCUUUAUAAAGCAAUUUGAGUCUCCUGUCAUGUGUCUUGAGCAUCCGCUGUCAAGAUACCACUUUACCUGUUUCUUGACGGAGACCUGCAUUUAAAAUAAAGUCUCAAGCUUUCUUUGGUACCCAAAUUUUCUUGGGUCCUUUGGUGUUAGUAAGAUAAACAGUAUUAGCCCAUACUUUCUUAACAGGUUUCCAUACCAUAGGACACUCUUUUUCAAAGUGAUCCGGGCUGUUGCACUUAGAACAUCUGAGAGCAUUUCUACCUACAGGUUUUACAAAAACUUUCUUGAAGUGAUUUUUGUAAACCUCACUCGAAAGCCUUUUCUUAAUUCUUUCUUUUACUUUAGGAAAAUCAAUCAAGGGGAUUGUCUCUUCUGUCAUACCUAGACCAGACUUAUUGAAGUAAGGUCUUUGUGCUGAAAGAAUUUUCUCAAGUUUUCAGACCCUAUAGAAAAUUUCUUUGAUAUAUUUGAUAAGUCUGUUUUUAAAAAAGCAUUUUCUUUUAAAAGAUUAUCUUCAUUUUCUUUAAGAUUGAAAACAGACAAGUCUAGACUUUUAACUCUUUCUGCUAAAACAUUUUCCUUUUGUUUUAGAGCUGAGUUUUCUUUUUUCAGUUUGGAAAUUCUUUUGAGAGAAGUCUUAAGACUAAAGCAUAGUUCAUCAAUAUAUUUAGACACUUUGACAGGAAUUUUAAAAUCACUUGCCUCAAAUUCACUGUCUGAGUCUAAUCCUGAGUCUGAUCCAGAGUCUGAGUCUGAUUGUGCCAUCAGACAUAGAUUGGCAUAUUCAUUAUCACUUUCUUCACACUCAGUAUCACUCCAGGUUUCAGCUUUGAGAGCUUUUCGGAAUUUUUCAGCUUUUCCUCUCUUCUUCUUCACAAGAGGACAGUUGGGUCUAAUGUGUCCCUUUUUCUUGCAUUCAAAGCAGACUACAUCUUUAUUUGGUUCCUCAUCAUCAACAGACUUGGUCUGCUGUCUUUGAAAACUUUGUUUCUUUGAGUUGAACCUUCUUCCUUUUCUAUUUAGUUUUCUGAAUUUUCUUAUCAUGAGAGCAAGUUCCUCAUCGUCCAUAUCAUCUUCAGAAUCUGUAUCAUCAGAAUCAUCAUUUGAUUUUAAUGCAAUGGAUUUCUUACCUUUUGGAUCUUCAUCUUCAUUGAUCCUUUCCACUUCAUAGGACUGAAGAGUUCCAAUCAGCUCGUCGAUAGAUAGUGGCAUGAUUCUCUGCGUCUCUCUUAUCGAAGUCUUUAUGUGAUUCCAAUCCCUGGAGAGUCCACGUAGUAGCUUGUUUACCUUCAUGGGAUCAGAAGUUGGUUGACCUUGAUUUUCAAGACCAUUCACAAUAUCUGUAAAACGACUAAACAUGUCAGAUAUUGAUUCUCCUGGUUUCAUUCUGAAGGCUUCGUAUUGACCGAGAAGAAUGUUGAUUCUUGUUUCCUUCACUCGAUCUGUUCCUUCAUAGGUGAUAUGCAAUCUGUCCCAAACUUCUUUUGCUGUACCACAAGAAGAUAUUCUAUUAUAUUCAGUUGGUGAUAAAGCACAAUAUAAGGAGUAAAUUGCUUUUGCAUCGAGUGUCUGUCUCUUGAUUAUUUCUUCCUGAGACAUUCCGCUGGUUUCUUCAGUUUCUUUUCCUCUUUCAGAGACUGAUGCAGUGGUAGGAGUAAUUCCUUUUUCUACAACGUCCCAUUCCAGAGGAUCCUUUGAUCGUAGGAAAGCUUUCAUCUUGUUCUUCCAGAUGUUGUAAUCCUUUCCAUCAAAGUAGGGUGGUCUAGUAUUGCUUUGCCCUUCCAUCAGCCCUGGUGCUAGCAUACUAGCCAUGGAUCUUUAACUCUGAAGUAAAACACUUCAAACAAUGUGAGUACACAGGCUCUGAUACCAAUUGAUAUAGCUAGUAUGAGUACCUAGAGGGGGGUGAAUAGGUGCCUAGACAAUUUAUCGAUAUAUGGAAGCGAUUCUUAACAAAAUGAAAUACGAUCGAGGUAUAGAGAGAGAGAAGAUUGAACACAUGAUUUAUAGUGGUUCGGCUUAUUUCAAGCCUACGUCCACUCUUCCGCACUGACAGCCCACCGGCUGGAUUUCACUAUGAUCAAAAGAGAAGUUACAGCACAGCUUUGCCUUGAUUCCACAGUGUGGAUGUUUUAUCACACUUCCUCAAGGUCUCUCACAAAUAUAGACUCUCUUUUGUAUACAAGUAUUCGCUCAAAGGAAUUGUCUAAACAAAUAGGAGCUUCAGACUUUGGAAUUCUUCUAUCGCGCACACCUCGAACAACUAAGAACAUCUUCCUUAUAUACUCCUUUAUGCCAUCAUACCCGUUGGCACUUACCAAAGGAAUUCCUCCAAUCUACCCGUUGGACGGAAUCAAUUAGGAAGAUUGUUCGAGCUAUUAAAGGAACGUGUUGAUAGCCCAUCAAUCCUGUUCGCCCAUACAAUCAGGAUCUCGGUUUCCAUAAGUAGAACCUUCCAAUAAUAAUUAGACAAUCAUCGAAUCUUCAGUCAUUGAAUCAAUCUUGAUCAAUCAAAGGAUUCUGAUACGUCUUCUCCAGCCACGAGAUCUUCUCCUGAUGAUAAGGAUAAAUCCUGAACAAAACAUCAAGUUCUGGAUAACCUUUCUUCAACGGAUUAGAGACUGUCAAUGAGGAUAGACUUUGAGUCUUGAGUCUGGCUGUCCGGAAGUCUUCAGACUUUAACUAACAGAGUCUGCUGACCUUCAGACUAGACUGAUGGAAACGUUUUGUCAACUUUAAAACACUUCACGAGGAUUUCUCCAACAGAUUCGAUCCCCACAUCUUGCUGUCGUGGUAAACCACGAAGCAUGAUAAGUUGUAAGCCAUUAGCUUGCUGCCCUUGUUGUCGUUGAUGCUUGAAUUCAAAUCGGUGUUCAUGCAGGCUAUGAUUGAUCUUAGCGAGGAGAAGCUAGAUUGAAGUGCCUAAGCCAAAUUUAUUAAAGGUUUUUGAGGAAUCUCUGUGAUACUCAUGUGCAUUGAUUUGUUUAGUGAAAUACGUGGUUUUGGAAAUUCCUGAGCGAUUUUGUACUUUUUUCAUUUUGUUAUUCUCUCUCAAAUCUGUGUAGAUAAUAUUUCAGAGUUAGAGAGGCAAAUUUGUUUGAACAUGUGUAGACUAGAGUCAUUUGUUUUUUAGAUUAAGUGCUGUCUGAUUCGAAUUGCCACCAAAGACGAGUAUCUUCAAUCAUGGGUUAGAAUGAUUUAGCAGCCUUUGAAAAUAACCAGCAUGCACGACACAAUAGGACCCUCUCAAGAAGCCAUAUAUUCCACCUCAAUGAAAGCUGUGUCUAUGAAUGUUAUGAAUAAUCCAACCCGGACCCAAUAAAACAUUCCCAAGAAGCUAUGAGUGAAAGUUAUCGUGGCAUAGACAAUUUCAUUGGUGGGGAGAGCAUGAAACUGUUACUUUAAUUGCCAUAAUAAGUUUUUAAGAAAAUUGAAUAAAAACAAAACCCACUGAUGAUAUUUCUUGAUUCUCAAGUUCAUUAUUGUCAUCGGAGAAGGUGAGUGGUGGCGAAUAACUUAAAAACCAGCUUAUGCCAAGAUCAAUGAGUUCUUGGGUGAGGAUGCAAAAUUGCAUAAUGUAGAGCAUGCGCUUUGAAGUUUGCUAAUGGGGAGGCUGCAGAACUGAAGCACACAAUUUGUAGUUUUCCAAAACUGCAUAACUUCUCAAAUAUCUUUUCGUUUUCUUCUUUUCCUAAACUGUUUAAAUUGUUUUACACUCGUGCAAGCUCGUGUGUGAGGAGUCUGAUGCAUUUGUUAAGAAGGAGGUGAGCAAGAUGAAAAAAGAAAGAAAAAAAAAAGAAAAAGGAAAAAAAAAAGUCUUUAGACGAAAAUACCCCUAGCUGCAAAUAAAAUUUGAUUGGCUUUCAAGUUGAAACCCUUAUUGGAGACUAAAUUGGUUACUUCCGGCCCUUAUUUGAUACAAUGUCCACUUUAGGCCCUUUUUUGAGAAAGCGGUUCCACUUCAAGCCCUUAAUUGAAAUUUUCCCCACAAAUCACAACCUGCAAUAGUUACAUAUAGACUGAUCUCUCCUACAUUAAAUGGAGUAGGCUUGAAAGAUCUAACUUUAUGCAUGUUUUGGACCUCUUAUACCUUAAUUUUGUGCAAAUCAAAUAAAUAUUUUAUCAUCGUCACCUAUACAUAAACUUUUUAAAGUCCUUAAUGUGAUUUUUUUUUUUAUCUCUUUUGAGUUUCACAAUUGUUGUUUCAAAUGCUUAUUACAUUUAGUUGUACCAAGAACGAUAAUAUACAUGUGAAUUGGAACUUUCUUGGGAUGAGAAUGUAUAUAACUACCGAUAAUUCGAAAUUAUUGAAUGGAAACGUGCAAAACCACUAGUAUUUUGAAUUACUAAAGCAUCCUCUUUUGGAUCUUUUCCUUUGCUAGUCUUGAAUCCAAAUCAUGGGUGUUAAUAAAGAAACAUAGACAGAUUUCAUCAACAAAACUAAUCAACUAAAUAAAAUAGAGAAAGAGAUACUAGGUAACAAGAAUCAUAGCUGAAAUCAUAUAACUUUUAAAAUUGGGCAUCCUCUUCUGAUGGUUGCUCGAUGAUUCAAGCUUUUUAUUUUCAAUUCAUGCAGAAUAUUUUCAGUCGAUUGAGUAGUUUUCCAUCAUCAAAACGCUGAAAAGUCCAAAAAUGAUUUUUCAAAAAUGGUUUUUUAUCAAACAAGCUGACCUUGAGGAUCUUACACGUACCUUUAGUAGGAAUACAAUUCAUCUUCAUCAUUGAGAUACGGAUUUUGAUUUAGCAACUGGAAGGUAAAGAAAAGACAAAAAAGAAGAGUAUAAACUCUUGACUAUAAAAAGAAGAAAUAAAUGGGAGAUGGUUAAAUUGCUUCUGUCCUUUUCCAUCAUCAAAGUACAAGCUUGUUGCUCAUUACAUCCUUAAAUAUUGCUAAAAAGAGCUAGAUAACUAAUUUUUGUCACUUCAGUGAAUCUUACGUAGUGUAAAGUUGAAUUCCGUCGGAUCUAAUUAGAACCAAUGAUAAAGUACCAAGUGUGUUGGAUUCCGAUGUAAUUGGGUAUUUGGAAGUGUCUCAUGUUGCCGAAUAUAGCAUUAGGAAUCACUAUGACAAAAGAGAAUAGAAUCAAAAUCAAUCAUGAUAAAGAUCGAAAGUAUACGCGCUUCCGACAUCAGGAGAAUAUUUGGAUCAAAGGGCUCCUUGCUUUUGAAUGAAGAAUUGAUAGAUAAAGCAUUUUGAAUAAGAGUUACUUCUUCUUUUUUACUAUACUUGUAAAUUUGCACACGUACUGCAUGUGCGCAAGAAAUCGAGGUCUGAAAAAUUGAGCAAAUUCACUUUAUUAUGAAAUGUUAAAAUUGCUAAAUAAUGGGAAACGGAUUAUUAAUAAUGAUACACAAUUCAAUUGUGUAUAUAUUUGUGGACUAAAGAAUUUCAAGAUUGAAAUAUUUUUAAGAAAAUUGUUUAAGAUUGAAAAUAUGUAUAUUUUUAUGUUAAUGCAUGUGAAGAUAUAAAAUAUAAUCGUAAGUUUAUGCAUUCGUGCAUAGACACAAUAUUUAUAAAAUAAAUAUCUAAUGAUUUUUGGGGAAAGAGAAGAACCGAUUGAGAUCAAUAUUUACAGCCCGUAAGCUUUAGAAAUUGGAAGAUGAAAAUUAUCUUUUUAAUUUGUGUUUAGCUUCUCAAGAACCCAUUUUGAAUAUUGAUAAUAGCUGAAGAAUAUGUUCCAUGGUAUUUCCCAUUUUAGAAUGCCAAAAAGUGAAAUUGGUUUUUAGAAGCACUUAUUUUAAUAUGCUUACGGCGUUCCAAUGCUUCCCACCACGAACCGCUUUCAAGCCUAGUUGCGAUAAUCUAAUUUAAGUGAGGUUGUUAUCGAUUAUUUUCAUCUACGAAGAUAUAAUAUAACACAUUAUAUUAAUCACAUAAUGGAAGCAUGCCAUAUUUACUGUGACAUCCCAAUUUUUCAAUUCUAUUUUCAAUAAAUUGAGACGGACAUUUCGUUGGCACGCAUAUAGUUCUUUUCCUUGAGUCGGCCACUCAUGUGAAAACUAGUCUAUCGGGUGAAGCCGUUAAGAAAUUCUAAUGCAUCAGACUCGAGAAUUUGACCAGGAAGCGAUCUUUCGACCGAGCUAAUCUGCAAGGGUCAUUACGGCACAAUUAAAAAUCGAUUAGAAAUCGAAAAUAGGUCGACUCGAUAGAGGCAUGUAAUCGGGUGUGGGUGAUUACACCAGAUUGCACAAUUCUUGUCGAUCGGCACUGGACCGACUUUUCUGUCGAUUGGGUACCCUGUGUUCGUAUUUGAAACCUUGAGAUUACCCCGACAACCGAAAGUUGCCAAUGUUUCAAAGAUGUACGUUGUGGCUUGAGAUAAUCAACCACGGGUCAAAUGCAUGAAAAUUUCUAAAGGCUACCCGGUAGGUUGGACCGCGCUAGUAUCGUGCCAAAGUGAAAUUAACCGUGGAAUUGAGAUCGAAUUCAGAAAUUGGAAGUCUGGGUGUGUCACAAAUCAUUUCAGGAUCAUUGAAUCAUCUUUGGAAGAUUUUUCAUGCAAUCAGAGUUUUUCAGCAAUUAAAUCAGAGAAUGGCUAAUUUGGCUCGAGAAAUUAGUAGGCUCGUCUUUGGUCGCACUUUUGGGACUUAAGUCGGUUCUAUGGACAAGUGAAGAUGUGAAUUAGAGUGUGGUGGCAUUGGAUUAAUUUUAUGGACUUCAAUUUGAUUCAAUUGGGAGAGAAUUGAUUGGAAUUGAAGGAAUUGAUGUACAAAGUUUUAUGCCCCAGCGGAAAAUGGAAUUGCAACCAUUGGAAUAAGGUUGUGGGAGAUAGUGGAGUGUGAUGUCAUCCUAGGUGAUGGUGGGCCAUUUUUGUUGGAUAAAAGAAAGAGAAAAAGAAAAUAAAAAGGGCCCCCCUCCUUCUCUCUCCUCCCUCUCUUCUUCCUCUCUCCCGUGCGACCACUCUCCAUCUCCAUUUUCUUCUCCAGCUUCGAACCUAGCAACCGGAAGCCAGCAGCCGUCGCAGCUGCAGCCGGAGCAGUCGUCGCCUUCGCCCGUCCGCUCGUCGUCGCAGCCGCGCCUCACCGCUCGGACCUCGGCCUCCCUCUCUCCUCUCUUCUCCAUCUCCGGUUUCGGCUCCAAGACCCAGCAGAUCUGAGCACGACAAGGAUGGCUGCAGCUCAGCCGGACCGUCGUUCGUCGCUCACCUGACCAACUUGCCCGUCGCCGGAGCUCGUUGCUGUCGCCAUUCGUCCGCACACAUGUUGUCUUGUGCGCGAGCUGCUCCGCCCUCCCGUCUCUGCCUCGUCCGCGCGCCAGCAGCCAUCGUCCGUCAUCCCGAGCUGCCGGAGCUCGUCCCCGCCAUUGUGAGCCGCCAUUGACCUCCCCACCGGCCCGUCCAAGCCCUCGCCGGUUUCCUCCGCCCAUUCCGACGCCGGAUCCGCCCUUCUCGGCCCCAAAUCAGCAGCUGGAAAAUGGGUAUGGCAGCCCAUGUUUAGCCCAUUUUGGUCGUCUUCCUGAGCCCGGAUGCUCGGCCCGCCUUGAGGAAAGUCGAUCCUCGCGUCGUCCCCGUCGUUUUGGUCCUUUCGGUUCGUUAAUCCGGUGAGUUUAGCUCACUAAACCUUGAUCAGAGGGUUAAUGAUGCUUUAGGGGUGCUUAGUUUAUGUUAAGUGUUAUUAGGUGGUUAGUUUAAUUUAUUUAAGUGUACAUUAUAUUAAGGUGUUUGAUUAACUUAAAUUGUGUUUAAUUUAAGGUUAAGUGAGUGGUUAUAUUAAUAUAAGCAUUGAUGUGACAUAAAGGAAUUUACUUUUGAGUUAUUUAAAUAUCCCGAAAUUAUUAAAUAAUUAAAUAAUAUAUUAUUAUUCGAAAUUAUUAAAAUAUUAUUAUUUAAUUAUUUUCGGAAUAAAUUUAAUUAUUUAUUAAAUUCUGAAAAUUUUGUCAGGACCCUAAAUUCUCAGAAUUUCGUGCCGGUCGCUGCUGUGUAGUCAGAUUUUGAAAUUGAUGAUUGGAUAUUAUAAAUUGAGUGUUGAUUGUGAUAAAUAGAGAUUUUAUUCAUAAAAACCCAAGUGUCGGGUUUGGCAUUGAAAUUGGAUUUUUAAUGGUUAAUAUCAUAAUUGGAUUAUGUGAGUGAAAUGUAAAGUAUCCAGGGAUCAGUAUCGAAUUGUCGUGUGUUGGUUGAAAGGCUCGGAUUGCAGUAGUGGCUAGGCCAACUAGACCCUUAUUUUGCUAUAAAUGCCGUCAAGAGAGUGACGUGGCUCGGGUCGCAGUAGUGGCUAGGCCAACUGGACCUUUAUUCAUUUAGAAAUGCCGUCAAGAGAGUGACGUGGCUCGGGUCGCAGUAGUGGCUAGGCCAACUGGACCUUUAUUCAUUUAGAAAUGCUGUCAAGAGAGUGACGUGGCCCGGGUCGCAGUAAAGGCUAGGUCAACUGGACCCAUGCUCCUUCGGGAAUGCCGUCGACAUAGUGACGAAGCCGCGCUCCAAGGGGGGGAGGCGAUGCCUAGCAUUAAUAUUAGAAGAUAGCCGAACUGCAAGUAGGCUAUGCCCUUGUGUUGCAGCGAACAAUAAUUGGAAUGUGUGCUAAGUGCGGCUAUGAUUUAUAUGAAAGUGAUCGCGUUCCAAUUGUUUGAAUUAUUAUUACUACCUGUGAUUGAGUGAUUUGAAUUGUGCUAACCUGCAGAAAGGAUCUGAGGCGAGGUAAGUUCUCUGUGUGAUGUGGCUAGGCCACCCUUGAGCGUAUUUUCUUUCUAAUAGGGGUUUAGGGGGUUGAACUUGCUAAGACAUUGUCUCAUCCCGGUUUGGGGAUUAAAAUUUCAGGUCCCUAGAUGGCGGUCGUGGAGGACCCGAAGCCCUAAGUCUGGAAAGGUGGAGACUGAAGUAUCGGUGAACGUGUCCUGCUAAUUGGUUUUAGGAUAGUUCCCAUUUUAUCGAGCUGGUCUAUUUUGUAGAUGGUCCAGAGUUGUAUUUAAACCUAUGUGUUUGUAAAUGAGUGUUUGGUGUUGCGAUUGAUUGCCUUCUUUUCUAUCCCAAGGUAAAUGUUGUCAGGGGAUUUGUUUCGCUUCCGCAUGCGUAAUGAAAUGAAUGGGUCGGCGACAUAUCCUGGGAUGUCGCAUAUUUGAUCGACCGCAGUAGGAUGUGCGCGCGCUCGGGGUUCGGGGCGUGACAUCCCCGUUUAAGUGGUAUUAGAGCAUGGUUUGUGUAUGGAGUGAUAAGGUGCGAUGAGUCACGGGAUAGUUAAUAGGAAAGGCUUUUAAUAUACUGAUGCAUGUGGUUGAUAGUUGUUUGGUAAUAUGUUUGUGGGGUCACUCAAAUUCUAACAUGAUGUUGGAAUCGGAAAACAGGCGUCUAUAAAGAGCUUGUAGCAUGAGUGACCAGGAGUGGAGAACUCCUUGGAGGAGGUCGAUAGGACUUGUACCUCGGGGUAGGAUGCUGACAAGAGUUGGUACCCGAGGUAGAGCGCAAGCUCAGUCUAGCGUGUGUGUGAGAGUACCGCCGUAGGCAGGUACUAAGAGUGUAGUAGCAUCGAGCGAUCUUAGGUUCGUUGGGAUCGUUCAGGCGCUAGUGUUCCUUGGAAGCUUGUUGGGUCAGUAAGCUCAGGACCAAGCUGCCGCUGUUGCCGUUAUUUCUACCACUGCCAGUGUUGUGACCGUUGUUGUUGCCACGCCUGUUGAGGCCCAAUCUGGAGUGGUGAUCGAGGAUCAAGCCAUCAUAUCUGAGUCAAAGUUCAGCUUAAGCAGAGAUGGAAAUCGAUUGGGGAGAAAGGCCGAUGUUAGAAGAAAGGUGCCCUGUUUCACCCAACCGGUAGAGUAGAGUUGGAAAGUCAGUGUUCAACUCGAUCGAUGUGUGUUGUGUCUGUAAGAAAAGAAAGAGAUAUGUUCCGUGUUGUAAGAGAGAAAGGAUUUGUUACAAGGGUCGCCAAUAUAGUCAUUUGAUCAAAGAUUGUCCGUAUAGACAGAUGGAAUCACAACUGUUUCUAUCACCGCCGUUGUUAAGUCAAAACAGAGGAAGCAUGCUUCAAGAUGUUCAGUGGGGUACUUGGAAUGAACCUCAGUGCAAGGAAGGGUGCAUGAUGUUCCUUGAUGGGAGAUAGCGAAUUCACUGGUCGUGUGCCGAGAUUGUGGAAAGGAGGCUUGAGUCAGCCUAGUGUUAAAGUAAAAAUGGGGACGUGCUUUGAAUGUGGCCAGCAUGGCCGUCAGGUUAGGAACUGUCCGUGUAAGUUCAGGAGAGUGUAAGCACCAUUACUGCAGAUAGAAUGCCGCUAGGAUGGCGAAAGGAAUAGGAAUGGAUUGACUAUGCAUUAAUUAAGGGAAGAAUGUUUUGAGGUGUUUUAUCAGAGUCACACAACAGGAUUUUGAGUGAAGGUUAUGGAGUUUCCGUUGUUGUAAUAAAGUAAUAGGAAGAUGAGUCUCUGACUAUAGUUAUACCUGAUGGGUUUGCUUAUGUAUGACUUGGAAGUCAUUUAUGAAAAGGUCUGGCUCGAGGAGCUUUCCGCUAUUAUGAAUCGUAGCAGUGAUAUAAUUCGGUUUGUUCAGUCAGCGUAUGAAAGUUUUGAAUUACUGAAAGUUGAAGAGGAACUUCAAUCCUUGUUAUUCGUCGCUGAAGAUGACUUGGUUCUAUUUGUUGGUUACCGAAUCUGCAUGGCAGCUGUAAUGGGUACGUCAGUUGAGAAGCUGAAUAUGGAGAACAUAAUCGUGGUACAUAAGUUUUCUAAGGUAUUCUCUGAAGAAUUGUCAGGUUUGUUGUCAGAAUGAGAAAUAGAGUUCGUGAUGAAAUUAGCACCCGGAACAGAGCCAGUCCCUAAGGCUCCUUACCAGAUGGUGUUACCCGAGUUAAAAGAACUGAAGGUGUAGAUGCAGGAAGUGUUGGAUAGGGGAUUCAUACGUUCCAGUGCAUCAUCUUGGGGAGCAUCUUUUCUAUUCGUGAAGGAGAAAUGUGGUUCGUUGUAGUUGUACAUCGAUAUUCUUCAAGAUCGACUUGAGGUCAGGGUAUCAUCAGUUGAGGAUCAGGAAGAAAGACAUAUCGAAGUUAAGACCUCGCACUCGAUACAGUAGUUAUGAGUUCAUUGUAAUGCUGUGUGGUUUAAUGGACACCCCAGCUGUUUGUUUGGGUUUGAUGAGCAGAAUGUUUAAGGACACUUGAAUCAGUUGUGAUCGUGUUCAUUGAAGUUAUCCUAGUGUGUUCGAAGAGUGCCGAGGGGCACAAGAGACGUUUGAGGAUGGUACUUCAGACCUUAAGUACUCUUGGAUUUUACAAUAAGCUUAGCAGAUGCGAGUUUUGGAUGACUCGUGUUGCGUUCCCAGGUCUUGUGAUUUCAGGAGAAGGAAUCUCCGUAGGCCCCGUCCAAGAUUGAAGCAGCGACCAGUUGACCGAUAUUGACUACAGUGACAGAGAUUGGAAGUUUCUGGGAAUUAGCAGGAUAUUACAGAAGUUUUAUGGAAGGGUUUUCAGCGUCAGCAUUGCAGUUGAUUCGACUACUGAGGAAGUAAGAAAAGUUUGUGUGGUCAGAUGAGUGCGAGCGUAGUUUUCAAGAGCUUAAGCAGAAGCUGACUACCGCACUUGUGCUGACCAUUCCAUCUGAUUUUAAAAGUUAUGAGAUCUGCAAUGAUGCAUCAUUUAAAGGAUUUGGUUGCUUGUUGGUGCAACAAGAUAGGGUUUUGCAUAUGCGUUCCGUCAGUUAAGACCUCGGGAGUUGAAUAUGAGACAGCGUCGUUGGAUGAAACUCAUUAAGGAUUAUGACUAUGAUAUUUUGUAUCACUCUAGAAAAGUGAGCAAAGUCGCAGAUGCACUGAGUCGAGAGUCUUUAGUUGCACAGUUGGUACUCAAGGAUUGGAUCUUAUUUGAGAAAGUUUGAAAUUCGGUUUUCAAAUCUAAGGUAGGCCACCUUUUGAAUCUUAUGACUACCCUCAGAAUUGAGCCAAGAGUACAGAUCAGAAUCAAAUCGCUUCAGUGGACAGAUUUAGAAAUUCAGAAGACUUUAUAAGAGAAUGCAGAUGAGGGAGAGGUUGAGUUUCAGAUCUCUGAAAACAUAAUGCUAAGGUUCUGAGGACGAUUGUGUGUAAUUGACGAUGCAGAGAUUAAAGAAGAGAUCUUAUGGGAAGUUCAUUAUAGCAAUUUCAAAGUCAUCUAGACAGUGCGAAGAUGAGUCAGAAUCUACAUCAUCGGGAUUGGUAGAUCGGUAUGAAGAUAGAUAUCGCCGAACACGUUGUAAGUGUUGAAUGUAUCAGUAAGUGAGAAUUUGGUAAUGUAAACCAGGAAAGCUUUUUCAAGCAUUUGAGAGAGUCAUGUGUAGGAAUGGAAGUAUAGCAUGAUGGAAUGUUAUGACAGCUUAUUAAGGAGUCGGGAAGAGUAUUGAUUCCUUAUGGGGUUGUGGUCGACAGAUGAACAGAGUCAACUCACCUUAGUGCAACACGAAAAGAUCUCGAUUAGAAUAGAUAUAUCGAAGUGUGUGGAUAUCAUAUAAAUCAUCUGCAUGGAGUGCCGGAGAUGCAUUGUAUUUCAAAUCUAGAUCAGAUUCCAAGCUGGCAGAGCUUUUAGAUGGUUCCUUCUUAAGUAGCACAUAACAGAGAGUGCAGAAUUUCAAUUGCUGAGAUGAAGUCAGGGAAAGAAAGAUCACAGGCCAGGGUUAGUACAACAAUCAGUGAUUGCAGUUGCCGAGAUCAGUGUCAAAGUUAUAUCAAAUCUUGACCAGAGGUUCCCAGUUUCAGCAGAUCAGUCAGAUAGUUUCUUUUUUUUUUUAUCAGUGCAGAGCAGAGUGUUCAGGACUUCAAUCGGUUGAGAUAAGAUCAGAGAUCAGAAAAUCGCAGGUCCAGAGUUUGUCCAGAAAUCAGUGAUUCAAUCGCGAUUAUUAGAGACAGUUUAGAGACUGCUCAGAAUCGCCAGUUUAGUUUCACAGAUUUUGUAUUGAAGACCUUUUGAAUUUUAAGUGGGCAAGUGUUUAGUAUUGUGCAUCCGAAGUGGUUUGGGCAAGAUAGCAGUGAUCUGGCAUCACUGAUAUAGAAAGAGCAACCUGAGAAAGAGAAUUCUAGAUGAGACGAGUGUACCCCCACUUUUUUGUUUAAGAAUUGGUAAAUGUUUAAAUUUCGAUGAAGAAAUUUUUAUAAGAGAGUAAGAGUUGUGACAUCCCGAUUUUCCAAUUCUAUUUUCAAUAAAUUGAGACGGGCAUUUCGUUGGCACGCAUAUAGUUUUUUUUCUUGAGUCGGCCACUCAUGUGAAAACUAGUCUAUCGGGUGAAGCCGUUAAGAAAUUCUAAUGCAUCAGACUCGAGAAUUUAACCAAGAAGCGAUCUUUCGACCGAGCUAAUUUGCAAGGGUCAUUACGACACAAUUAAAAAUCGAUUAGAGAUCGGAAAUAGGUCGACUCGACAGAGGCAUGUAAUCGGGUGUGGGUGAUUCCACCAGAUUGCACAAUUCUUGUCGAUCGGCACUGGACCGACUUUGCUGUCGAUUGGGUACCCUGUGUUCGUAUUUGAAACCUUGAGAUUACCCCGACAACCGAAAGUCGCCAAUGUUUCAAAGAUGUACGUUGUGGCUUGAGAUGAUCAACCACAGGUCAAAUGCAUGAAAAUUUCUAAAGGCUACCCGGUAGGUUGGACCGCGCUGGUAUCGUGCCAAAGUGAAAUUAAUCGUAGAAUUGAGAUUGAAUUCAAAAAUUGGAAGUCUGGGUGUGUCACAAAUCAUUUCAGGAUCAUUGAAUCAUCUUUGGAAGAUUUUUCAUGCAAUCAGAGUUUUUCAGCAAUUAAAUCAGAGAAUGGCUAAUUUGGCUCGAGAAAUUAGUAGGCUUGUCUUUGGUCGCGCUUUUGGGACUUAAGUCAGUUCUAUGGACAAGUGAAGAUGUGAAUUAGAGUGUGGUGGCAUUAGAUUAAUUUUAUGGACUUCAAUUUGAUUCAAUUGGGAGAGAAUUGAUUGGAAUUGAAGGAAUUGAUGUACAAAGUUUUAUGCCCCGGCGGAAAAUGGAAUUGCAACCAUUGGAAUAAGGUUGUGGGAAAUAGUGGAGUGUGAUGUCAUCCUAGGUGAUGGUGGGCCAUUUUUGUUGGAUAAAAGAAAGAGAAAAAGAAAAUAAAAAGGGCCCCCCUCUUUCUCUCUCCUCCCUCUCUUCUUCCUCUCUCUCGUGCGACCACUCUCCAUCUCCAUUUUCUUCUCCAGCUUCGAACCCAGCAACCGGAAGCCAGCAGCCGUCGCAACUGCAGCCGGAGCCGUCGCCGCCUUUGCCCGUCCGCUCGUCGUCGCAGCCACGCCUCGCCGCUCGAACCUCGGCCUCCCUCUCUCCUCUCUUCUCCAUCUCCGGUUUUUGCUCCAAGACCCAGCAGAUCUGAGCACGACGAGGAUGGCUGUAGCUCAGUCGGACCGCCGUUCGUCGCUCGCCCGACCAGCUCGCCCGUCGCCGGAGCUCGUUGCUGUCGCCAUUCGUCCGCACGCACGUUGUCUUGUGUGCGAGCUGCUCCGCCCUCCCAUCUCUGCUUCGUCCACGCGCCAGCAGCCAUCGUCCAUCGUCCCGAGCUGCCGGAGCUCGUCCCCGCCGCAGUGAGCUGCCAUUGACCUCCCCACCGGUCCGUCCAAGCCCUCGCCAGUUUCCUCCGCCCAUUUCGACAUCGGAUCCGCCCUUCUCGACCCCAAAUCAGCAGCUGGAAAAUGGGUAUGACAGCUCAUGUUUGGCCCGUUUUGGCCGUCUUCCUGAGCCCGGAUGCUCGGCCCGCCUUGAGGAAAGUCGAUCCUCGCAUCGUCCCUGUCGUUUUGGUCCGCUCGGUUCGUUAAUCCUGUGAGUUUAGCUCACUAAACCUUGAUUAGAGGGUUAAUGAUGCUUUAGGGGUGCUUAGUUUAUGUUAAGUGUUAUUAGGUGGUUAGUUUAAUUUAUUUAUGUAGAUUAUAUUAAGGUGUUUGAUUAACUUAAAUUGUGUUUAAUUUAAGGUUAAGUGAGUGGUUAUAUUAAUAUAAGCGUUGAUGUGACAUAAAGGAAUUUACUUUUGAGUUAUUUAAAUAUCCCGAAAUUAUUAAAUAAUUUAAUAAUAUAUUAUUAUUCGAAAUUAUUAAAAUAUUAUUAUUUAAUUAUUUUCGGAAUAAAUUUAAUUAUUUAUUAAAUUCCGAAAAUUUUGUCAGGACCUUAAAUUCUCAGAAUUUCAUGCCGGUCGCUGCUGUGUAGUCAGAUUUUGAAAUUGAUGAUUGGAUAUUAUAAAUUGAGUGUUGAUUGUGAUAAAUAGAGAUUUUAUUCAUAAAAACCCAAGUGUCGGGUUUGGCAUUAAAAUUGGAUUUUUAAUGGUUAAUAUCGUAAUUGGAUUAUGUGAGUGAAAUGUAAAGUAUCCAGGGAUCGAUAUCGAAUUGUCGUGUGCUGGUUGAAAGGCUCGGAUCGCAGUAGUGGCCAGGCCAACUGGACCCUUAUUUUGCUAUAAAUGCCGUCAAGAGAGUGACGUGGCUCGGGUCGCAGUAGUGGCUAGGCCAACUGGACCUUUAUUCAUUUAGAAAUGCUGUCAAGAGAGUGACGUGGCCCGGGUCGCAGUAGAGGCUAGGCUAACUGGACACAUGCUCCUUGGGGAAUGCCGUCGACGUAAUGAUGAAGCCGCGCUCCAAGAGGGGGAGGCGAUGCCUAGCAUUAAUGUUAGAAGAUAGCCGAAUUGCAAGUAGGCUAUGCCCUUGUGUUGCAGCAAAUAAUAAUUGGAAUGCGUGCUAAGUGCGGCUGUGAUUUAUAUGAAAGUGAUGGCGUUUCAAUUGUUUGAAUUAUUAUUACUACCUGUGAUUGAGUGAUUUGAAUUGUGCUAACCUGCAGAAAGGAUCUGAGGCGAGGUAAGUUUUCUGUGUGAUGUGGCUAGGCCACCCUUGGGCAUAUUUUCUUUCUAAUAGGGGUUUAGGGGGUUGAACUUGCUGAGACAUUGUCUCAUCCCGGUUUGGGGAUUAAAAUUUUAGGUCCCUAGAUGGCGGUCGUGGAGGACCCGAAGCCCUAAGUCUGGAAAGGUGGAGACUGAAGUAUCGGUGAACGUGUCCUGCUAGUUGGUUUUAGGAUAGUUCCCCUUUUAUCGAGCUAGUCUAUUUUGUAGAUGGUCCAGAGUUGUAUUUAAACCUAUGUGUUUGUAAAUGAGUGUUUGGUGUUGCGAUUGAUUGCCUUCUUUUCUAUCCCAAGUUAAAUGUUGUCGGGGGAUUUGUUUCGCUUCCGCAUGCAUAAUGAAAUGAAUGGGUCGGCGACAUAUCCUGGGAUGUCGCAUAUUUGAUCGACCGCAGUGGGAUGUGUGCGCGCUUGGGGUUCGGGGCGUGACAUUUACUUUCAAUCACAACCUAGCUCGAAUCAUCAGGGGCCGCCGGAAUCGAACUGGUAUCAACCAUAAGAACGCGUGGCAACAAGGCACAAUCUGCAAUCGGCGACAAGGAGGGAAGGGAAAGAGGGGAAGGGAGGAGCAAUCAGCUCGCGAAGGAACAUGGGCGGAAUCUGCCCGAUUCUCUCUUCUCGAUCUCCCUCCACAUUCUUCGAGCAUCUUCGUCCUCUCUCUCUCCCCCCACUUCGCCCCUCCGUCCUCAAAAGCCACGGACGAACUUGGGAAGAAGGAGAUUCAGGGCGUCUGCGAAAUGUUCUGGUUCGAGCCCAGGAACAAGAAGGAAAAGACGACGACGACGGUGAAGAAGAAGCUGAUCCGAGAAUUCCAAAAUUUGUGUUUUUUCCUUUUUAUGUGCCGAGAUUUACCGGCCCAAUUUGGGGAACUGUUGGGAGAUUUGAACUGGGCUCCUGAACUAGGUUAUGAUCGAAAGUGUUUUUCUGAUACCUGAACAAGCAAGGGACGUUUUUAUCUUUUCUAUCCUUCGACUCCUCCCCCCCCCCCUCUCUCUUUCUCUCUCCUCCUCCUCGUCCUCCUUCUUCUACGUGGGUUUUCCGGGAAAAUAAGGAAAACAGCCAGAAAGCACAGGGAAAGAGAGACAGAGAGAGACCUGGAUCAGUCGGACGAAGCCUCGCGGUGCCUUUUGCGGGUCGUGUGUUUUCUACUCUGGGCGAAAGGACGUUACCAGUAGAUCACUAUAGGCGCUCCGUUUCAGGUGCUAUUGUGUAUAUUAAUGGCGGAAUCUUGGCGGAGUUAUAGCCGUGCGCAGACAGCGGAGUGGAUACGAAUGGAGGAGACGAGGUUGAAGACACCUCAAACCCGAACGGCCCCACCCACGUAUAAAUAGGAUCUUCCUCGUCGCAGCCAGAAAUACCGAUUUUGCCGCCUUCUUUUUCUUUUAUUUCUUUUGGGCAAUGAUCCUUUUUUUUUCCCCGAAUUUUGUUAUUUGAAUUUCUUGAAGGAGCCCCGCGAUUUACUCCACUGCCUAGCGUGCUUAUGCACGAGCGCAAGCAAUUGCAAACGUAGGAUUUGGAUUUGGACAGACACGUUAGGCAAUUUAGCCGAGUAAGGAGCGAAGUAUAUUUUUUUCAACCUUGAAGUGUGUUUAUCAUUUAUUCAAACCGAAAUUUUCACACACACAUAUAUACAUAUAUAUCUCAAGAUAGAAAUCACAGUUAUCAAGCAAAUAAAGAGAUAGAGAGAGGAAAUUAUAAUCUUCCAGUCCAGAAUCGAUAAGGCUAUUUGUGUAAAAUUCCUUUUAUGUGAGUGCGUAGGAGCUAUUUGUGCAUGACGCACCAAUCGUAGGUGAGCGAUUGCUUCCUUGGGAGUACCCAAUCAUAAUAAUAAUACUUGCAUGUCAAAGAAAGUCAACUAAAAAAUUUAUGACGUCAUAGAAGUUUGUCAAAGGAGUAACUUGAGACAUUUGACACUCAGCAAAAAGAUAAAAAUAAAAGAUUUUCUUUUAUUAUUUUUUUUUUGGUGACCUAGGAAACCCCGAAAGCCGAUAGCCGGCAGGAAGAACCUGGGGGCAACAUGGGGAAACCACCACCCCAUGCCACCGGAUAAGUCACCAAGUAACUCCACUAGCCCCCUUGCGUUGCAAGGGCUUUGAACCUCUCCCCUCCCACGCAGAAGAUCACUAAAGCCUACCUAGCGGAGCCACCACGGCCAGUGGUAAGAUUUUCUUUUAUUGUUUCUAUGCAACGAGUCCUCAAAAGGAAUUUCUAAAAAAUGCGGAGCUAUAUUGGGUCAAAGGGACUUCCCUCAGAAAUUGUGAAACUACGGGAGAAAAGGUUAUGUAUUCAAUAAAUUACUCAUAUUUACACGUCACUCUAAUCUUAUGUGGUGAGCCCUUGACCAAUUUCCAAGCUAUUAGAAUUUUAGAAUAAUUUCUUCACUUCUCAACAGUUGUUUCAUGAUAAAUUGAUUUGCUUAUCACAAAUUAUGAAAUCUAAAAUUAUAUAUGAACAUGCAUUUAUUGAGACAUCUUAAAAAUUUCAAUGCGUUCCCACCAUCAUUUAUUAUUUAUUAUAUAUAAUAAUGGAGAUGUCAUUUGAAAUUUCAGAUCUUGAUGUAUGCACUGUGAUAACUAAUCAUAUUUCUUCUAUGAAAGUUUUAGCUGGCUCAAAAGUCUUGGCCUAUGCCUCUCUUGAUUAAGAGGACCUUUUGUUAAAUGGUGUUUGAGUACUUAACGUGGACUCCCAUUCAUAGAAUAGUCCUUUAUCAAACAUUUAAUAUGAGCAAAUCAUCAUAAGAUUCUUACGCACUGUCAAGAAUUUAAAAUGUGGAAUCUAACUUUUAUAAUUCUUAAGUAUGUUAAUUGCGAUAAAAUAAGAGUCCUACGGUACUUUCCUUGUUGUAGAGCCAACUUUAUGUUACAAUAGAAAUACAUUAACCCUUAUCAUGCUGUGCAUCCACAUUAUGCGACCCAUUGAUAUGGUGUCACCAAUUGAUAAAGUGCUAUGGUUUAGAAAAUUACAAAAUAAUUCGGGCUAAGUACUUUAGGUUGGUCUUAACUUAGGAGUUACUCGAGUAGAAACCCCAUUUCAGUUAUGUGAAAGUGGUGUACACUUUAGUUUUUUGGUCGAAAGGAUGAGUAAUAUUAACAUAACGGAGAGUAAUUACAAACAGCACAACCAGCCGCUAAAGCAUCAGAACAAAGUAAGGUAACCAAAAAGGAGGGCGGCGAGGUAGCCCAAUCUUGAGAGAGGAGCCCAUUUCGAUGAGCCUUUGCGGCCCAAUCCACAACAGAGUUCGCUUGCCGUUUGCAAUGCGUUACCCUAGUAGAAAAGAAAUCGAGAGAGGAGGCUGACGGCCUCUGCAGCGAUUGCACGAGCUUCCCAUGGCAAUGGCGUAGAGGCAUUGAUCGAUUCUACUAAAAAAAGACUGUCUGACUCAAUGAUCAACUGAUCUCGUUGUCUUCCAGUGUCUAGCAGAUGGUAAAGAGUGAUGGUAAGAGCCAUGAACUCUACUUGUAGAGCUGUCGAGGCGUUGAAAUCUCUGGUGAGUCCAUCAACCAACCUCCCAUUUUGACCCCUACAAAUACACGCCAUAGUCCCUGUUUUGCUGUGAGGUCGAAAAGCUCCAUCUAUAUUUGUUGGAAAAAGUAUUAGAGUACAUAAAAUAAUAAUAAUUAUUGGAAAUACAUUACAAAAGAUUAGAAAAUAAAAAGAAAUGUCUGAGGCGUGCAAACACUGUCCUUAAGGAUAAUUCCGCCCCUCGGAGUACGUAACUCGGUGCGUAAGGCUUCAGCAGCUAUCCUCCCAAGAUACAACAGACCUUCUUUUAUACUCCGCACUGAAUAUUAGAAGGAAACAGAACAACUUUUGUGUAUAACCCAGCAAAAAGAAAAUGAAAGCUGUGAGAACAUAUUGUAUCUACUACGAUUGUGGUUUGAAGUUUAAUUUAUAUUUAAAAAAGGAAAAGAGAGAGCCGUUAAGAGAUUAUCAUAAAUCAAUUGGUAAUUAAAAAGAUGACUGUUAUAAAAUAAUGAAGAGUUUAUAAAGUAAUAAAUCAAAAGUUAUAAAGCCGUUAGAUGACCAUUAUAUAACCAUUAGAAAGCCAUUAUAUGACCGUUGAAAAAGCCAUUACAAAAAUGAUAACUUUCAUGACGAUAAUAAUUUCUAAUUAAUAUUUCAAAACUACUGAAAUAUCCAACAAUCCCCCGUAUAUUUCAAAAAGUUCUGACAAGAAAAUAAAAUAAUGCUAGGUUAUUGAAGAGUAAUGCAUCGGAAUAGGUGCUUAUUAGGCUAUGAACCAACCCUAGAAAGAAUGAAAUAUAAUUCAUGAAAUCAUUGGUGAAGUUUGAAACUUCUAUGAACCAAGAAUUUCUUUUUGUGAAUUAUACUUUUCACCAAUCACAUUACACUCCCACAAACUUUGUUGUUCAACGCGGUUUUGCGCUAAUAGGCCAUGCGCGUGCUUGGUUUAUUCAUAAGUGCUUUAGAGAUUUUCGCCAAAAAUUCUCAUAGGAGCGGCCCCACCCCACACUUAUAUAGGUGAUUCCAUCAAGUGUAUUCUGCAGUUUAAUACACCAUCAAUAAUGGCUAUAGAAUUUCAUUAAGAGCUUAGUUCAACCUCUUUUUCCUUGCAAUUUUGCACUAUUUUCACCUUAGGAUGGACAAUAAUUUUUAAUAGUGCACUAGAUCAACAAAGGACUUGUUAUUACCCAUAUGAAUCUAAUUCAUGAGAUCGCCAAUCACAUAGGUUGGGUUACUAUUAUUGUUGAUUUUCUUCAAUUGACUUGUCCAUUCCCCUCAAUGUAUAGUCAAAGGAUUGGCCAAAAUCCAUUUUUGAUUUCAUAUAAUUAAUGGACAUAAUUCCAUCAUUAAGCAACUGCUUUACCACGUCAUCCCUCAAUCGGAUUUGUCAAUUUUUAUCAUAUCUAUGCAUGGCUAUUGCCUCUUGGCAAUCAUGAUAUAUAAACACAAAAUGUGUCAUUUUCCCAAAGGAAUAUCUGCUGAGAGUUUCUCAAUUACUCGGCCUCAUUUUCAUAUAUGAGUUUGAGAAAAAAAAAAUUCCUUUUCCUCAAGAACUUGAAUAGUUCACAAUUUACCAAAAAAAUAGUAAAUAUUUUCUUCUCCUUCACCCAUUGGAACCUAGGAGGAUAAGGCAUUUUGUUUACACAUAUAUGCCUGGUAGCACUUGAGUCUACCACCCAUAAUUUCUCGAUUAGCCACAAUAUUGGCAUGGGAAUGACCACAUCAAUUACUUCAUCAAAUCAUCUACUUCAACCAAGUUGACUCUUGGUUUAGCAGGAUUGCCAUUUCCCCCACGAUUUCAUUUGAUUGAUUUCCACCGGGUGAACACAUAUUUGUUAGUGGAUUUUAUCUAAUAUGAAUUCAAGAUCCAGUUAACAUCACCGUAUCCUUAUAAUACAGUGGAAAAUCCACUAUAAUAAACUUGACAAUAAUCACCUUUUAACAAAAUAUUUCACAAAAGACAUCAAUCUUAUUCAAUAUAGAUCUAUGUUGGCUAUGGAUGCAAAGAAAUAAAAAUAAAUUUCAUCUCCACAACAUUCACUAAAGGAGAUUCUCUUUCCCAAUACAAUAGCCAUCAAGUCUCUAAUUAUCAUCAUGCAUGAAUGGACAUUCAACAUAAAUUGACAAAGUAAAUAUUCUUACAAAGAACAUUUUUUUUUUUACAUCAUUACUGCUGUAAAUAAUACAUGUUAUUCCAAAAAUGUUAACCAAAACUUAGAGGUUAGCAUAAAUCCAAAAUGAAUUAAUAAUUUCACAAAAUAACUAUAAGACUUCCUUUGAGUGUUAUAUACGAAUCACCAAAAAUGUCUCAACAAUGCAUACUCAGUACAAAACAUGUAAUCAAUUUAAUUAUGCAAUAAAAUACUAUUUAAUAAUUCUAUCAAAAGUUAUGCGUGAAAAAUUCGAUCGUUGCAAAAGAGACAUUACAAUCUUUAACCCAUAAAUUUGUGGCUAUUAUUCUAAUAAAUUCAAGAAUAGAAUCACAGCAAUUUUGACAAGAAAAAUAUUUGAACUAAAACUUUAGUAGUCAUAAAUAUAAUGCCAACAAUGUUUUACACUUGUAAAACUCAAAGUAGACUAUAACUCUUUAAGCAACAUUUAAAUGUCUGAAAUGUGAAAUAUAAAAAAUAUCACAAAAGGCAGGAUGCAAAAGGCAUACUCACUAAAUUGUCGAUUACGCUAAUUUAGCCAGAAAAGUAAUUAAUGGCAAAUAUUGGGGUGUAUCAUUAGUCAAUUGAAUAGUAGUCGCCCAAUUAUUCUUUCAGCUUGUGCUUGCUAAAUUGGGUCUCCAUUCUAUUCUCUUUCUAUCAAGCAUAAUUCCAUGUCGUCGAGAAGGAAAGAAUCUGCCACCAUUCUAAUGCUAGAGAAGUUCUAUAUGUGCGUGGACGAGAGAGAAGUACCAUAUCUUCAUGUAUUUAUCAAACAUACACAUUGUCAUGCAGCAAAUACCAACACAUGUAUGAGCAUAUACAUAAAUAGAGGCCCACGCUGCACUUCCAAGCAAGCAUGAAUAAAGACAUGCCACCAAAUGCCAACACAAGCUCGUGUCUACACUUACUUGAGCAUAUUGGCAUGGACAUCACCAACCGAAUAAUGAUUGUAUGCACUCUAGCAUAUUCCCAAGAAUGACAAGACAAAACUGUGAGGAAUACUGAAGAAUUUUGUUCCAUAGUCAAAUGGCACCUAUUUUCAAAAUCUAUAAGCACAAUAAUAUAAGGUAAAAAGACCGUAAUUUUAGUGGUAAAACACAAAAAUCCCACAUGACAGCAUCCAUUGUUUCGCUAAAAAUAAUUAUAUAUAACCUGGUCCAACAUGGGCGAGCUCGAUAAGUUUCUGUAGAGAUGGAGCCAAAGACAAAUUAAAUAGCAGGCAAAAACAGUUAUAAACUGGCUUCAUGAAUGUACAUUAAACAAAUUUUAGCAGGAGAAUAGGAAGAAUUAAGAACAAAUGGAAACUAUUUUGAGUAACAGAGAAGCGCCCCAAUUUCUAAUCCUAAAUGGAUGAUUAUUAAAAUAAUCAUGAACUUGAGAGAGAAAGCACCUACACACGUCCGACUUUCUAUUGGAAAAACAAGUAUAGGUAUUAAAGCCCCAAAAUAAAAAUAAAUAUAUAAAAGAAAUAUUAGCCCAAUUUCUUUCCAUUUCUUUUAUGGUUUUCCUUUUCUAUUUCUUUUUAAGUACCACACGGAAUCACUAUGUCAUUUUUAAAGAUUUUCUACAUAGGUAAUUUUGAAAAUUUGUAAGCAUCUUCCGUAAAAGUAUAAGACCACACAUUCAUGGAAUAUGUCUAACAAGAUCAAAUCAAAUCUAAAGAGAACACACAAGCUCGUAAUGCCAAAUUUCACAUAUUAGAAUGAAAGGAUCAUGACCUGUGUGAUGAUGACUCCUCAAAAUGUGGAAAUAGCGUGCCAAAAUGGCAAUUACACCUUUCAAGUAUUAAUUUAGAAUUUCCAAAAAACGACUUACUUGAAACUCAAUAACCUUACCAAAACGACCAAAAGCUAUAUUGUGUUAAUGCUUGAUACCGUCCCAUGACAAACCACCCAAGAAUAUGUGAUACUCGUCCUUCACCAUCUCCAAAUCCUUGUUUAAUUCCAACGUCAGUGGAAGCACCAGCAGUUCCAAUUUUGAAAGCUAUAAGGGAAUUAUCCUUAAGAUUGUUGGAAAAAGUAUUAGAAUACAUAAAAUAAUAAUAAUUAUUAGAAAUACAUUACAAAAGAUUAGAAAAUAAAAAGAAAUGUUUGAGGCAUGCAAACACUGUCCUUAAGGAUAAUUCUGCCCCUCGGAGUACAUAACUCGGUGCGUAAGGCUUCAGCGUCUAUCCUUCCAAGAUACAACAUACCUUCUUCUAUACUCCGCACUGAAUAUUAGAAGGAAACAGAACAACUUUUGUGUAUAACCUAGCAAAAAGAAAAGGAAAGCUGUGAGAACAUAUUGUAUCUACUAUGAUUGUGGUUUGAAGUUUAAUUUAUAUUUAAACAAGGAAAAGAGAGAGCCGUUAAGAGAUCAUCAUAAAUCAAUUGGUAAUUAAAAAGAUGACUGUUAUAAAAUAAUGAAGAGUUUAUGAAGUAAUAAAUCAAAAGUCAUAAAGCCGUUGGAUGACCAUUAUAUAACCAUUAGAAAGCCGUUAUAUGACCAUUGAAAAAGCCAUUACAAAAAUGGUAACUUUCAUGACGAUCAUAAUUUGGGAUAAUACCCUAAAAAACCCCAAACUGGUACACCUGUGACAAAUUUACCCCAAACUAUUUUUUUGACCACCAAAAACCCCAAACUGGUAUACUUUUGACAAAUUUACCCCAAACUGGUACACUUGUGACAAAUUUACCCUAUGUUAGUUUUCGUUAAAUUUUAUUCUCAAAUUAUUAAGUUAAAUAACACGUGACAGUUAACCAAUAUACCAAUUUAGGAUUUUACGUUCCGUUUGUCACAGUUUACAAUUUUUAUGAUUUUUUUGUGGUAUUAAUCCAAUUUAGUAUAGGGUAUAUUUGUCACAAAUUUACCAAUUUAGGGUUUUUUGCAGUCGAAUAAAUUAGUUUGGGGUAAAUUUGUCAUAAAUGUACCAGUUUAGGGUUUUUUAUAGUUAGUCGGGAUAAAUUUGUCACAAGUUUACCAGUUUGGGGUUUUACAUGGUCAAAAAAAUAGUUUGGGGUAAAUUUGUCACAAGUGUACCAGUUUGGGGUUUUUCAAGGUAUUAACCCUCAUAAUUUCUAAUAAAUAUUUCAAAACUACUGAAAUAUCCAACAAUAUUCACCUUAAUGCAACCUGGAUCUGGAGGUCUCCACAGUUCGCCAAGGUUGAUUUGCAGUUGUCCUAUUGCUGCUCUUGUUCCUGUUCCCGAUGAUUUGCAAUGGGAUAAACAAGUAGCUCUGGUGGUGGCGAGGGCCACUUUGACAACUUGCAUCACAUCCAACGCUGGCGAUGAAAUAUAAAACCAUUACGCGCUUUCCAGAUUUGCCAAAGGACAAAGGCCACCAUUUCUAGAUCGGGUGAGGAGUAAUUUAUGUUGAAACUAUCUGCAAUCCAUUCGUCAAGUCUCUGUAUUCCCUACAGAUCUAUUUGAAAGUUGAUUUUCGAGUGCGACCAUAUAGAUUUCGUCCAUGGACAAAGUAGGAAAAUAUGCUCUACUGUUUCCAGUAUUUGGUUUUGGCAGAGAGUACAUACAUCGAUGAUAUAGAUUGGCUUUAGUGGGAAGGGCAUUGUGACAUAGCGACCAUAGAAAUACCCAAACUUUGGGCUCUAUCUUUAGCUUCCAUAGUUGUUUCCAUAGAAUCGCCGGGGUCUGGUAAGAGCAUAUUGUUGUAUGUUGAUUCUUCGUGACCUCGGCAUUUUUUAUUGCAUGGUAGCCGCUUUUAACGGUGUAAUCACCGUCAGUAGUUGCUGUCCAAAUGAGCUUAUCUCUGACAUAAACAAGUCUAACCUGAAUUACGAGAAUUUCUUGGACAAUAGAUUCAUCGUAUAAGUUAUGAAGCAGUGGAAUAUUCCAGUCAUGUGUCUGCAUGUUGAGCAAUUCGGCAACCUUAGCUGGUUCAUUGCAGUUUGCAGGUCCUCCCAAAAUGGAUUACAUAUUAAUACAUAGACUCUUAUUGAAUGCUUAGGUGUAAGGUUUUGAUAUGAUCCUCUUUUCUUUAUCUUUUUUUGGUAAAUAUUCAUGAUGAUUUGCCACAUCUGACAUCACUUCGUACAUUAAGGUCAUAAAGGUUUCUAAUUAUAAGGCUACAUUAUUAUUUUCAUUGUGAUACUAAAUUCAUAGUUAUGUAGUGACAACCACAAAACUUUUUAUAUUGUAUCACUGCUACAGAUCAUGUGGUUUGACUAAAUCCUGACCAUGCUUUUCUCUAUGAUGUAAUCUCCAAUUUGUGCAAUUCUUGCUCUGCCGAAAAGUUAUUAAUUUUAUUUAUUGAUAAGUCGCUUGUGUUCUCUCAAGCUUUACCUAAAAACAUUAAGAAAAUAGAAAUUAUAGAUUGGGAAUGGAGAAGGCUUCCCACAACCACUCUUUGCCAAAAAAAAAGACCCAACAAAUUUGUGGCAUUGAAUAAAUCCAUAUCAGAACAACUGGAAUUGAUGAUGUCAGACGCGACUAUUUUGCGCGAUAAGAAUGUAUCCUAAAAUAAAUAUAAAUUAUAAAAUGAAAACUUAAAUAUAAUAUGACAUGACAUGCCACACUUAACUUCAUAUUUGAACACAAACUCACAAAAAUAUAUAUAUAUAUAUAUAUAUAUAUAUAUAUGGUAUGUACAAACUCACAAAUAUUAACGUGGCUUCAUCGUAUUUUAGUUAUUUGGCAUAUAGAAUCAAAAUCUAUAUGUUUCUAGGUCUACAUAAAUUCGAAUUAUAAUAUUAAUCAUGACAUGUCAACACGAACUGUCACCCCUAAUACCAAGAGUAACUAACUUGCACGUCAUCCAUACAUCUCUCGGUACACAAGAAGAGCUGAACCCAACAACAGCAGUGCCACGGAAAGUAGAGCCGACUGUACAGCGGCUGACAAUGGAAUGCGUCCUUUAUCCGACCUUACCAUCCCUUCAAUCACAGGGUAGCUCAUCACCAGGAUGAAGAACGACAGAGCAAUCUGCGCAAGCAACUUGUCCCAACCUCCCAAGACGAGCACCCGAGCGAUUCCUCCGACAAAGGAAGCCAUGCUCAACAUCACUAGAGCCACUAUCGGGGCCAAGAACACGAUCGAUGUUCGGAAAUCAAAUACGCCCUUUUCGUACAUCUCCAUUUGCUCGUCAUCGGCGACUUUGCUAGUAGGCAAGAAGCUCUAUCUCCUCACCCCGGUUUUCGUCAGAACGGCAUUUAUGCUCCCGUAUAGAUAAGUGGUCACCGAGUGGAUCAUCCAUAUCCGUUGCUCGUUUAUAAACGUCCGGACCGAGUGACCACUCACGACGACCUCGUAGAGAUGCUUGGAAAGUGAAGAUAGGAAAACGAAGCAAUACACGAGGAACAAUGAGCUCGAAACCUGGCGUGCCAAAAGAAUCGAUGUUCAUGAGUCAUGAUUAUAUGUUACUCGCGUUCAAUAGCAUCAAAGACUUGAUUGGUUCACGGGAAUGAAAAGCCUACAUAUGAGAAUAGCUUACCUCCGGAUAAAUGGGGACGCCAUUGAAUAGACAUAUCUGGGGAAUGGUGGCUAAGCAGCAGAGAGGCAAGCAGUAGAGGGGGAAGAACGCAAGCUCGGUAUAACACAUGCUCUGAAGAAUGCUCAUUCUCCAUGGUCCAUAAAUCGGAGGAGAGAAUCUGGAGAACCCGACCUGAGCCCACCCGGAACUCCAUCUUGUGAUUUGAACCAGUAGGUCAUUCAAAUUUGUCGUGGAAGCCCCCAAAAAUUGAGGCCGCGAAGGGCAACAGUACACUGAUUUCCAUCCUUUGCAGUGCAAGGCGAAGCUGGUGAAGAAGUCUUCGGUCACAGAUCCAUACUUGAAACCGACCUGGAGCAAGAGCGACCACGAGCUAAAUAAAGAGGAAAUGGAGUCACUAAUAGCAGCAAAUUACAAGGGUUUUGGUUAUUUUGUUCUUUUGAUUGUACUUGCCUCUUGACCCCAUUUUGUUCCGUUUUCAUAGUGACAAGAAGCUAAAUGUUCGGUGUCUCUGCAGACUGCUCCCAGUUCGCUGAGAAUGUUCUUAUUAAGCUUGUCGCUCCAGUGAAGAUGUUUAAUAAACUCAUUGGAAUGGCCAAAGAUUGCUUUCAAAUCCAUGAGAUUAGCUGUAGUACCUUUCCAAUCAGCAAGAGAAGUAGUUGAUUACAUUGCAUGGAUUUGCUAUCCAAGAUCCUACCUUAACAUAUGGCUAUUUUGACUUACCUUCUUGCAUGGGUUUGCUGUACAAGGACUCUCUCUUAACAUAAAAGCCAGUACCAGAUAUUAAAGGUCCUUGCAACCCGUCCAUUCCACACCAUAAUAUCUGAAAGAAAGCCAAAGUUAUCGGUUAAAAAUGGAUUCAUCAAAAUAAUUUCACAUGUACGAUUUGCUCAAUAAGGCUGAGGAACUAGUAAGUGCAUAAUAAAAAAAUUUGAUUACUAUUAUAGUCUUUUUCUCUCACCCCAAAUGGCGAUCUGUGUUUACUGUCGUAGAUGUCGUUCUUGCUGAUAUUAUGGAACGAUUGAGGGAAUUGAACGAACGAAAGCGAUGGAGACAAUGUCGGGUCCAAGUGGAAGCAGAUUGCCCUCCUCGCCGAGGAUGGGUCGUUGCAGUACAUGUCACAGUCCAGCACUAAUACAUACGGCGAGUUGCUUAUCACCCCCGACACGCGAAGCUGUAAAGGAGGAGCAACAUCAAGUAGUGUGAUCGAUAUUACAAGUACAUAUUAUAUGUAUUUAUGCUGUUCUCUUCCAAGUGAAAAUGCGAAACUUGAGUAGCAUACCAGAACAUUGAGAGCUCCAGCUUUGAAGUUAUGAGGGUAAGAAGGCCUUUUUUCCCUGGAGACGUAAACAAGCAGAGGCAUUUGCUGUUGGUCAGCUUGCACAACUUCGUCUGAGGAAUUUCCAUGGAUCACCUGAAGAAUAAUUUCGAUUUUUUAUGUCUCUUGAUAAAAAGUCUUGACUAGAGCCUUUUCUUUUGCUCAUCAAGUGGAAGGGAAUGGAACCAAAGAACUAAAAUGGGUCAGAAUCCCACGUGUCAAAAUGGGUUCGAAUCGUAAAGCGAAUGUCCAAGAUUAAUGAUCAAAUCUGUAUUUAUGGAAAAGUUAACACUGCAAAAAUUUCAAACUAUAUCCACUAUGAUAUAAAUACUCUGACCUUUUUUUAUGUGUCAUUAAAAAUCUUAAAUUUGUCCAUAAUGACACAAAUACCCUAAACUUUCUUUUUAUGAUAUAAUACCAUGAAUGAAAUUGAAAUAGAUGGUAUAUAUGUCACAUAUCUAUAAGCUUAGGUUUCUUCAUAACACAAAAAAAAUUGGGGAUAUUUGUGUUAUAGUAGUCAAGUUUAGGAUUUUUGAUGAUACAAAAAAAUGAAUAAAUUUGGGUUGUGUGCCACAAGGGGCAUAGUUUGGCACUUUAUUGUGGUAUUUGUCCUUUAUGGAACGAAAAGGAACAAUUGCACAACAUAAGCUUGUACUUUCGAAGUAGUAUAUGUUAAUAUAAACUUAUAUUUUGUUACAACUAUUAAUCAUUUGGUUUUUUAAUUAGCAUGAGUAAUACACAUGGCUUUUGAGGUGUAUUACUCAUGCUAAUUAAAUAUCUCUCUUACCCUUAACAGCCGUGAAACUGACAAAUAUAUAAAAAUGGGUGAAAAUUAAAUUAACUGAAAUACUUAUAUAGAAAAAUAAAUAUUUUUUAAAUUCAAUGAAUGUAGCCAAAUUAUUAGAACUAAAUGAGGUAUUUUAAGAAAAAGAAUAAAAAUUAAAUAAAAGGCAGAUUGUCUUGAUUGGAAAAAGGUCAAAUGACAAAAAUUAUUUACUUAUUAUCUAUAUUUAAGGGUUGAGCUAAUGUAAAAAAUAUCGGCCAACAAAAAACUAUAAAAACAAUCAUAAAUAAUGAUUUCCUCAACUUGACAAAACAUUAGUAAAGUUAUUUUAUGAUGCAUUUGGUAAUUAUACAAGAUUUAUAUACUUGGAACAAGAAAAGAACAUAAAUGCGUUCGGUACAACCCUAAAAAAUUUUAUUACAAUUUUUUCAAUAAUUAUAAAAAUGUCAAUGGAGACUUAAACAAUUCAUGUCUGAAUAAAUUGGAAUUUUGUAAGGAUUUAACUAAUCAAAAUAUUCUAAGAUAGCCUCAGAAAAUCCAAUGUAAUAAUUAGUCAAAGAUAGAUGGUUGAAAAUAGUAGUAGAGAGUCAUACUGGUUUAUAACUCACAAUAUGAACAGAUUGAUAAUAAACCUUUGGGUAUUACAAUAAACAAAUAUAUAGACCUUUUGAACUUUUUUAGCUACAAGAAGAAGAGCAAACAUUGAUUGGAAAAAUGGGCAAGGACGAAACAACUAAGAAUGAAGGCAAUUCUAAAGUUGGUGUGCUUAUUUGCAUAAACUUAUCAAACCUUCAAGCAAAUGACAUUGGAAAUUCAUGGAGCACAAGCUUAUUAGACUACUAUGAAAAAAAGACAAAUGGUGAUGCAAACAAAUUUCUCAGAGCAUCUAAUUUUUAUUAAAACAAAAUUGCAGAUGAUCUUAAAAGAUGUCUAUAAUAGAAUCUUAAAGGAAUGAGAUAUAUUCUUUCAGUGGAGUUGCCAAGCUGUCAUAACCUAGUAUUGUCUUUUGAAGAUAAUGGCAUUAAAAAAAAAAUCCAUAUGGUAAAAUUCUAAGAGCUUAUUCAAUUUUGAAUCCAAUUUUCACCAAAUGAUUUUCACAUUUUUUUGUUAAAUUAAUUCCAAACUAGAAUUAAUACUUAAAUCUAGUAAAACAUUCAAAAUCUAAUUUCUAAAUUUUCUCCUAAAAUUCUGAUUUUUAUUUUUAUUUUUUAAUGGGGACUUGGAUUGGGUCGAGAGACCCGGUCAGGAUGUGAGUCUUACCUAGACCUUAUGUUGAUUGUGUAAAGAGGAGCAUUAGAUUAUGCUGAGGUUGUUCCUCUAAAAUAACCUUAUUACUCCUUUUGUUCUCGAGAAUAAAAAAGUAGAAUUUUUUUUUUACUUCUUGUUUUUAUUGCAAAUCUAUUCCCUAACUAUUUUUAUUUUAUUUUAUUUUGAGGAAUAGAAAAAUUAAUCAACAUACACAAACAAAUUGAUGUUCUUUUUAAAUUAUGGAUAAUAAAAGAACAGAAAAAUAGAUAAAUACAAACAUAACCAAACGCGCUAUAAAUGACUGAUCGAAAUUUAAAGUGACUUAAUAAUUUUAUUGAUCAACCAUAUUUUGCAUAAAUGAACUAUUAAAAAUACAUAAUGAGUAUCCAUUUUUUGUCCAUUUGACUUUUUGGUAUAGGCCUUUUGUCCUGUAAACUUAAUUAUUUUGUUUUUCUUAAAAUAUCCUAAUAGUUUUAUAAAUAUAUCAUCAAUUUAUACCAACUAUUACUUUUAAAUAAAUUUUGGUAAAAUUACUUUCUCUCCACUUUCUUUAUUUUGUCUCUCUUUUUUUUUGUACAAAAAUAAAAGCUAAAAAAAUUCCAUCCAAAAAAAUGAGAUGAAAAUAUGCAUUUGCCCCUUAAUAGUCGCGUGCGCUACACAUGCUAACGAAAAAUAUGGAAGCUUCGUGGGGAUAACGUGUGAUGGUUGAAAGUUAUGGGCAAACAUGUACUCCCCAAAGUUCCGUGGAGUUUUGUGUAAUAUCUCACCAAAAAAAAAAAAAAAAUACCUCAAUGGUAGAUGGAUGAUCCAGCCUCCCAUCCCGUGAUUCACCAUAGUUCCUGUUUCUAUAUCCAUUUAUAUGCGCCUCGAACAAUUCAUACUUCUCCUUUAAAAAAGUAAAUAAUGAAGUUACAUCACUUUAAUCGACAUAUACCCUUUGUCGAUUCCUUUCAAAUCGGAGAUUAUGGCUAAUCGAACUUUGUUGCGAAAGGUUUUCCUGUCCCAGAAUCGUACUUUGAUUUUCUCAACCCAGAAGUCCCGCUUGAACCCAUCUAAACGUAGCUAGAUCAUAAAGAAAAUCUGAAAUUUUCAAAUCAAGGGGCGAGUCUAAGCAACUACUUUAUGGCCUAGUAUCCAACCGAACACGUCCAUUAAUUAAAUCUACUUUGAACCAAGAAAUAUGCGUUAAUGACAACAUUAGGGACAUUCUAGGGGUACCAUAAAUUUAGUAGAUUUCUGUACGGAGUCGUGUGGCAUUAGAUAUGAUAUGUCUUGAUUAAAUACUUAAGUAGUUCGGUCUUAUAGCUUGGCCAGAGACGGUAGGGAGUGUGUAGUCGGAGAGCAUCUUGGACAUGGGGCGUGAAGCGGGAGGGAGGUUGAUUUUUUUCAUUAGUUAUAGAAUACAUCAGCAUAAAGAAAAAAUUUACUGGCUAUUAUAUUCACUGUUGAUACGAGGGGUUGGUGAGAGAAUAGGUUGUUAAAGUCUUCAAAUGGCAGAAGAAUUACAUUGGUCGAGUUAUUUUCAUUUAUGCUUACUCUAAUGGUGAUUUUUUUUUAAUGGAAAUCUCAAAAUUUAGAAAACAUUUUUGGAAAAAUGAUCAUCUAUAUUGCUUAAUAAAUGAAUGCGAAAUAUUUUCAUCUCCUACAAAAAUAAUUAGGCAUGAAUCGUUAUCGAUAUUGAAGACAUUAUUCAUUGACUAAUUUAUCUAAACAAUAUAACUGAUUCUUUUUCGAAAAAAGUUUUUGAAAUAUUGAAUAUUCUGUGAAACAAUCGCAAAGUUCUCUCUCUUUUUUGAUAUUGUGAUUUAGUGGACAGAUGCCCAAUUCUAACAGCCCAACGAACUAGUGGAGGACUUACGAUGAAGCCUAUUUUUUCUUUUUUUUGGCGGGGGGGAGGGGGGGGGGGGGGCGGGCGGCGGUCAAAUGCGAUGAACAAUGCCUCAAUAAUGCCGACUAUGAUAAGAAAAUAUUGAGUGCUGCUAUUACCGCAACAAAAAAGAAGGAGUCUAAAACGAUGACACGUGUCCAAAGUGAGUCCAAACAUCACUCUCCUGCAAGCUCUCUCCUCUCCUCUCUCCUCUCUCUCGUCCAAAUGCUGUAUGCUCUCUCCUCUAUCCUCGCUCUCGCCCAAAUGCCAGACUUCCUUGCACUCUCUCUCCCUCUCUUUGCCGCCUCCUCUUUAUUCCAUUGAGCCCUCCUCCUACCGACGAAUUUCGUGCCAGCGAAGGCAACCUUUCGAGCCACCACGCCCUCAUCCGACCGAAGAACUUCGUGGUGGCAAAGGCAACCUCGAGGUGGAGCCAUGCGAUGGUUUGUCAGACGAGCCACCGUACCCAACUAAUGAACUUCGCGACGGUGGAGGCAGCUUCGAGGUGGAGCUGCACGGUGGUUCAUCGGAUGAGCCACCAUACCCUCGUCUGAUCGACGAGCCACAGUGCCCAUUCGGCGACAGCUCGCUGCCCUCUACUGGUUGUGCUUUUUCUCCCUUUGAGUCAUGACCGAACCCUCGUCCGACGAAACACCACACGGCUCCACCUCUACCUCAAAAGGUUGCCACCGCCGGCACAAAGUUCGUCGGUUGGAGGAGAGCUUGGCGGGAUACAGAGGGGGCGGCGAAGAGAGAGAGAGAGAGAGAGAGAGAGAGCGUGUAAGGGAGAGAAAAGAGAGAGAGGGUGGCAAGGGAGUUUGGCAUUUGGGCGAGAGGGAGGAGAGAGCUUGCAGGCGAGUCUCACGUUUGGCUCAUUUUGGACACGUGUCGCCAUUUCAAGUCCUUUUUAUUGUUGUGCCGGCUAUAGGCACUCAAUAUAUUCUCGAUAAUGUUAAUGAUAGAGAAUAUGCAUUAAUUGGCGAAAAGGAAAAAAUGACAUAAUAAAGUAUACAACGUCAGCACCAAAUAAUAUGACGUCACCGAACAAAAACUAACCUUGACCUCCUCCUUCUCGGAUUCGUACCCCACGCUAGCGCUCACAUCCUCGUUAUCCAUGAAAUAAGCCUUGGGACACCUCGUCUUUAAUCCAUACCUCUUGCAAAACGGCGACCACCGUCUCGCGAAAUCGUACGCCUCCCUCAUCCCGUGCAGCGUGAGCAGCGAGCUGCCGUCGUCCGAGAGGUACACGUGGAGCUUCUCCGGUGGAUAGUCGAGCGCCAUUGCCGAUAUCACCGUGUUCAUCACUGCCACGGUGGGCUCCUUAUCGGGGUCCGCUGUGCACACCAGCACGUCUAUCGACGGGAGCUCCCCAUCGCCGGGCAACCUCUCGGGAAAGGCGGUCCGCGAUACAGGCCGCCAUCGGAAGGCCUGGUAGAGAAGCCACGUGAGGGACAGCGUUAGCUCGCCCAGGAAAAUAAUGAGCCAAGCCAAAGUGGUGGGUUGGCCCGGUGAGCUAGCUUCUUCGGCGAAGAAAAAGGAAGCUCUAUAGUGUAUAAGGAUAAGUAGAGCUGCUCCAUGGAUGAGCAUGUGUGCGCGGUUGACGGCGAUCAAUUUCGGGUCGACAUGGCAAAGGUUUAGGGGGUGCGAACGAUGCUCCAUAGUUCUUUCCUUCUCUGUCCUUGAGGCGACGCCACUAGCCUUUCCGAUCGAUCCUCGUCGACGGUGGUCAAUAGAGGAGGAGGAGGAGGAGGAGGAGGAGAGAGAGAGGAAGAAGAGGCCAGCUUUAUGUGGAGAGAAAGAAGAGCAAGUAGGGAACUAGAUACGAUAAAUGUUUUGUGGUAUGGGAACGUCACGAUCCCUUUCUAACUUGGUCCGGAUUAUAUAGUAUGUACUCCAUAUCAUGCUAUAUCUCCUUAUGUGAAGAUGGGCAUCUCUUAAAUGGACUCGAGAGCCCUAGCUACCGUUCAUCGAUAGGCUAAGCCUCCAUUAUGUCGUCUUCCGUAAUCGAGAGGUUUCGCAGCACUCUUGUUUGGCCGGCGGAUGGGCGAUCGCCCUCAAAGAAAGGUUAGUGCGCUUUCCCUUCUUUCUCAUCGUCCUUUUUUGGCUAGUAGUGGGGCGGUCUUCGAAUCAGUUGUCACUCACCUCGACAUGUCCCCGAUCUCGACAAGGACGGUGGAGGGCUCAAUGAUACAGCCACCGUCUAUCUAUUUAUGAAUGAUAGUCCUUCGUUUAAUUUUUUAAAUAUUUAUUUUGUAAUUUGGUCUUUCCUCUUCCGUUGAUUCGUCACCAAAAUCGUCGAGCAAAUGCCUUAGUUGUGAUGUACUUCUUUUUUUUGGUCAGAUAAUUGUGUCGUCCUUUAAUAGUGAUGGGUUUUUAUGUUUUGAUGGGCUUAUUUAAGCCUGUCUUCCCAUGUUGGGCCAAAACGCGGCCCGUAAGUGAAUGGCCCAUGGAAGAGUGUAGUUACUAUAAAAUAAAAAAUAAAAAGGGAAAAUCUUGGCAGUUAAUACAUCUACUCAGUUGGUUAUCAGAUAAGCAACGUCUUUGAUAAGAGAGAAUACGUUUUCUCAAUUUAAUGCUCUCUUAGUUUUCCCAAGUACAGUAUGCUCAUUUGAAGAACAGUAUCAGAAGUCCUCAUCAAACUACGACAAUGGUGUUUAAUCUGUGGAAGAUAAGGUAUGUUCGACUCUGUAAUGUACCUUAUAUCGGUGUAACAUGUUUUCUGGGCACGCUUUCCACGUUUGUUUUCCGGCAUUCAAUUGAGUAUCAGAUCGUUAUUUUUUGGGAAUCUGUUUCCCUACAUUGGUAUCAGAGUGAUGUUGUUUAUGUUUCCCGAUUACUGUUCAUGUUUUUUUUUUUUAAUGACCCAGGGAAGCCCCGUACAAUGCGGGCGGCUGGAGUAAACUCUGGGGCCCCAUGGGAGGACCCACCACCCCCGUGGAACGGGUAAGACGCCAAGCGUCUCCGUGGCGAGUCAAACCCUCACCCUCCGAGAAGGGGUCAGUGGGCCCCCCAUGAUGAGGAAGACUUGCCAGCGGAGCCACUAUGACCAAUGGUCCGAUUACUGUUCAUGUUUAUAAAUUGUUUUUUGUUGAAAUUUCGUGAAACGCUGCAGUUGGUCGCUCGGGGAUGGAAAACCCGACACCGCGUACUGUUCACCCCCUUUAUGAUUUUCAGUAAAUCGAAUCUCAUUUUUGAUACCGUAAGGUCGUAGCUCUCGUUGAUACGAGAAAAUCGACUGGAGGUUCACUGCUGGGGGCCAUCAGACGCACCGCCACACACUGCUAGAAUGUCCGGCGUCAUCGGUGCGUGCAACACAUGCGCUGAGGCAGUUCCCAAGUGCGUGCAACGCACGCACAAGCGGGCAAACUGCAGGAGCGUGCAAGGCAUGCGUGCGGCAACCGUUGGCGCAUGCGCACAUCGCCAGCUGAUGUCAUCGUGACGUCAGCCAGCAGUUGCUCACGCAUGUGCCGAUGACGUCACGAUGACGUCACCUAGCAAGGUCGGUCGGUUCGACCCGACCCGACCCAACUCGUCUGACUCGACCUAUUUGCGUUGACCCGUUGAUUAUUGACCGUUGACAAAAAAAAAAGGAUGUGUUUAUUUUUUAAUUAAGUUGCUUUGAUUAUGAGUAAUCAUUUUUUGUUUUGCAUUUGUUGUAGCAAGAAUGCCUCCCCUUCAGGUGCGCACACCUGUUCGUGCAAAUACAGCAAGUCAAAAAGAAAGGCUUUCAAGGUUGAUAGCUGAGUUGACUGAUUAUCGAUGGGAGAAUAGCAAUUUAAUUGAACAUGUUCUUAAGGUCAACAAGAAGAUACAAGAAGUCAUUUGGAAGGGUUAUCCCAUGCCAACUUUUGAGAUGGUGUGAUUCUUCAUGAACACUCUUCCACUAUAAUGACAAUGAGUGUUGAAUCGCUUAUGGGAGGUCAACAGAGUUCCUAAGUAUAAGAGGCUUGUAAUAGCUUUUAUAGAUGAAUAUUAUCAAAUUGAAGCCACAGAAACUGCGAUCCAAGGAAUGACUUCAAUCCGGCGGGGGAUGAAUGUGCUAAGGAGAAAUCCUAAGGGAUAUCCGUAUGUUUUUCCAUGGUUGCUGAAUGUGCCUAAAGAUUUUACAGAUGAUAAUUUGGAGAAAUUAAAAGAUUAUUUUCAUGUUCAUAGGUUGACUUGGCGUUAGCUGUUUCUAGUGGUUUCUAUUUAGUAUGUUUUAAUGGAUAUCUUAUGUAAAUACUUUCUACCUAGUUGAUGUCGUUGUAGCAACUAAUGUAUUAGUUACAUUAUGUGGAAAUAUUAUUAUUCUAUCAUUUAUGGAUGUCUAAUAUCAUUUGCUUCUGUUUUUAUUAACUGUUGUGGGUAGUUCAUAGAAGUUUCAGUAACUUCAAAGAACUUAUUAUGCAUAGAAGAUUAUAUUAAUGAUAAUUUCAAGUUAGGAUUUUUGAAUGAUUAUCGGAAAUUUAGUGACAUUUUGAUUCUGAAACCUUAUUUGAAUUAUUCAUUAAUAUGAUAAGUCUGUGCAAAAUGAAUGCAUGCGAGUAGCAUGGAGAAUGAUGUCAUGCGAGAGUUCAGGCGUUUUGAGAAUGCCAAGAAAAUAUGAGAAGCAUUGGCAGCAAGAUUUGGUCAUGCAUUGGUGACCAAACUGAGGCGGCUCACUAUAAGAUUUGACUCUUACAAGAAUCCUCAUGGUCAGACCAUGAAACAACACUUGAGAAAUAUCUCAAACAUGAUUAAUGAGCUGAAAGAUGAUGGCCAUGUCGUAACUGAUGAGUAGUAAGUGCAAGCAGUGAUUCGUUCUUUGCCUCAGGGUUGGGAGCAUAUGAAGGUGCACCUAACCCACAAUGAGAACAUCAAAAUCUUUGAGGAUGCAGUGCGCCAUCUUAAGCUAGAAGAAGACCGCAACCUGACGAUUAAGUUAGAAACCGACAUUUAUUAUGUUGGUUUUAGCUCACAUAGAGCUUCGAGCUCGAAGCGCAAACGUCCUGAUUGGUUCAAAAGGUGGAAAGCUAAGGGAGCAAGUUCUUCAAGGAAGAAACCAAAAGUUAACCAACAUGAAAGAGGAAAUCGUCCUUGAAUGAAUAAGCUGUCAAGGGUGAAGUGUUACAAUUGUGAUAAAAUGGUCACUAUGCUCGUAACUAUCGCAAGCCAAAGAAGGCACACACCCAUUGUGCUUUUGGGAACUUUGCUUAUGUGUCAAGUUCAGUAUUCUUAACGAAACUAAUCAUUUGUGAACUAUAGAUUUAGGAGCAACAGGCCAUGUAGCGAAGGAUAGAGAAUCCUUCGUGGAAUUUCGACAAGUACCGAUUGGAACUAAGUGGAUCUAUGUAAGAAAUAACUCCAAAGCCAAAGUAAAAAGGAUUGGCACCUGCCAAUUGAACAUGCGUGGUGGAUGUACUUUGUUUUUACAUGAUGUUGUCUAUGCUCCAGAGAUUUUUCAGAAUUUAGUGUCUAUUUUAGUGUUGGUAAAGCUUGGUUUUAGUUUUGAACUUCCAUAAUAAUGGUGUGGAUUUGUAUUUGAAUAGAAAAAUAUGGUUGUGGUUAUUUUCUAGAUGGUUUUAUUAUAUUGAAUGUUGACUGUGGUGAUGUCAAUGUUUGUUAUUCCAUUUUCACUUCUUCUAUUUCAUACAAUAAUGAUGUGAAUGAGUGAUAUGCUAGACUUGGCCAUAUUGGCCAAUAGCAUAUGAAUAGGCUAGCCAAAGAGGGCUUGUUAGGCAAUAUUGAAAAAAUUGAUUUGCUCAUAUGUGAAUAUUGCCUAGUGGGGAAAACAAUAAGGAGACCAUUUGGAAAAGGUAAAAGAGCUGAAUUUCCUUUGCGAUUAAUCUAUUCUGACAUAUGUGGUCCAAUGAAUGUGAGAUGAAGGUAUGUGAUUGUUUAUUUCAUCACAUUUAUAGAUGAUUACACUCGACUCGGACAUGUCUAUUUGAUUUCUCAUAAAUCUAAAGCAUUGAGUUGUUUCAAAAAUUUUAUGAGCUUGGUAGAAAAUCAAUUAGAUAAGAAAAUAGAAGUAUUGAGAUUUGAUCGAGGUCGAGAAUAUUUAUCUGAUGAGUUUAGAGAUUUAUGUGAUGAAAAAUGAAUAGAAAAACAGCUGUCUAUUUCAUACAUUUCUCAACAAAAUGGUGUUGUGGAAAGAAGAAACAAAACCCUAUUGGAAAUGGUUAGGUCCAUGAUGACGCAUACUAACUUACCUAUCAAUUUUUGGAGUGAUGCUUUAUUAACUACUGCCUAUAUACUUAACAGUGUGCAUUCCAAAUCAGUUACUUCAACUCCAUAUGAGUUAUUGAUAGAUAGAAAAUCGGACUUAAGUUUUCUCAAUGGAGAAUUAGAGGAAGAAUUAUAUAUGGAAUAACCUGUUGGUUUCAUUAUAAAAGGCCAUGAAUAAAAGGUAUGUCGACUUAUGAGAUUGAUAUAUGGGCUUAAGCAGUUGUCGAGACAAUGGUAUAUACAUUUUCAUAAUGCCAUAAUUGCAUAUUAUUUUUCGAUAAUUGAUUAGGAUCAUUAUGUAUAUCAAAAGAUCCAAAGAUCAUUUUGUGAUCAUAUCAUUAUAUGUUGAUGAUAUACUAAUUGCCGGAAGCAAUAUGAAGUUUGUAAAUACUGUCAAGAGUUGGUUAUCUUCCAAUUUUGAGAUGAAAGACAUGGGUAAGGCUGCAUACAUUCUUAGAGUUAAGAUUUCAAGAAAUCGUUCAAGAGAUUAUUAUCUCUUUCGCAAGAAACAUACAUAAAUAAGGUUAUUGAACAAUUUUAUAUGCAAGAUUGUAAACUCAUAGAUACUCCUAUUGCAAAAUGUGAAUGAUUGAGCCAUAGAAUGUGUCCAAAGACUCCACAAAAGAAGGAACAAAUGCAACAUGUUCCUUAUGCUAGUGCUAUUAAAAGCUUAAUGUAUGCUAUAAUGUGUACAAAACCUGACAUAUAUUUUGCAAUUAGAAUGGUGAGUAGAUACCAAUCCAAUACAGGUCAAGCACAUUAGAAAGCCAUUAAAAGAAUACUGAAGUAUUUAAAAGGAACUGCUGAUUAUAUGUUGAGUUACCAAGGAAAUGAUUUGCGACUUGAAGACUAUUUAGAUGUUGAUAAGGGAGGAUUUAGAUGAAAGGAAAUCUACCAUUGGAUUUGUUUUCUUACUGAAUAAUGACGCAAUAUCUUGGAGCAGUAAGAAACACACGUAUAUAACCAUGUUCACGAUGGAAGUUGAGUUCGUGGCAUUAUCAGCAGCAAUACAAGAAGGUGUUUGGCUUAAGAGAUUUUUUUGGAUCAUUUAGGUAUUAUUGAGAAUAUUGCAAACUCAUUGUUGGUUAACUGUAAUAGUCAAGUAGCGAUAGCGUACACUAAAGAUCCAAAAUAUUAUGAUAAGACUAAACAUAUAUAUACCAAGUAUAAUUUUGUCAAAGAUAUGGUUGCACGAAAAGAUAUGAACUUAUAGCACAUAUUUACGCAUAGAAUGGUAGCAAAUCCUAUGACGAAACCAAUACCUAAAUCUGUGUUCUAUGGACAUGUGAAAUCUCUAGGAUUACGUAGAGGCUGAUGUACUGAAUAUUGUAAUUUCCCUAAAGUGUUCACACGAGUAAUCACCUCUAUUUACUACGUGAUAAAUAGAAAUGAGACAAUUUUUAAGCUUAUUAUCUAGGUGAUAAUCGAGAGCUCAAGCUUAAAAUUUAUAUGUCAUCUUAACUGAGUGUUAAGAUGAUGACAUAAUAUUUAAUAUGUCCGAAAGUAAAAUAACCCACAUAUUUUACUUUAUCUGUCUAUAAUGUCAAAUGUGAGUUAUGAUGAAUUAUGUGAAUGAGUAGAUAUGUGAACUCGAGUUAGACAUUAGGUAUGUUUGAAUUAUCAUCUGUACGGUAUUGAAGGUGUAGACAUAUGCUCCAUGGGAAAUGAGUUAAUAUCGUAAUACGUAUUUCAUACAACGUAUGCAUGAGACGAUCAACAAUAGUGGCAAAAGUUUUUAUCUCAACUUUUAUACCGUGUGAGACUCUUAAGGAAAAGAGUUCUUCAAUUAAGUACCCUUAUGACUUUUACUUAUUCUCAAUAUUUCUAUUCAGUGUUUGUUAUCUUAGAAUAUUGCCAACGAUCAUGAAUUGAUUCGAUCUAAUUGGACAUUUCUAGAAAAGUAAGUUGAAUUGAAAUUGAGAGUUUCAAGGAAAGAGGAAAAUCGAAUUUGGAGAAUCACAUUCUAGUUUUGUAUUCACUGGUCAACCAAUUAUAAUUGUUUUUAGGAUAACCAUAAUUGUGAAUACAAUAUAUCAUUGUUUAAAAAGAUAUUAAGAGAGAUAUAAAUGUGAUUGAUCGAUUUAGGGUACUGCAUAUUAAAUCUACUCAAAAUUGUGAUGCUUAUUAUGAGCUGCUAUAUAUUUCUAAUAGAUGUAUGGCAAUGAGCUCUCAAAGUAUGCUGGUCGCACAGAUUAUUCACCGGUAUGAAUGUUGUAAAAAGGUAAAAAAAAAAGAGAGAUCUGUUUGGCCCACCAUGUGCGAGUGGGAGAUGAUGGGUUUUUAUGUUUUGAUGGGCUUAUUUAAGCCCAUCCACCCAUGUUGGGCCAAAACCCGGCCCAUAAGUGAAGGGCCCGUAGAGGAGUGCAAUUACUGUAAAAUAAAAAAUAAAAAGGGAAAAUCUUGGCAGUUAAUAUAUGUGAUCAGUUGGUUAUCAGAUAAGCAGCGUCUUUGAAAAGAGAGAAUACAUUUUCUCAGUUUAACGCUCUCUUAGUUUUCCUAAGUACAAUACGCUCUUUUGAAGAACAAUAUCAGAAUUUCUCAUCAAACUGCGACAACGGUGUUUAAUCUGUGAAAAACAAGGUAUGUUCGACUAUGUAAUAUACUUUAUGAUUGGUGUAACAUGUUUUUUGGGGACCCUUUCUGCAUUUGUUUCUCGGCAUUCGAUUGAGUAUCAGCUCAUUAUUUUUUGGGAAUCCGUUUCCCUACAAAUAGGAGCAAGUGUGUCCUGAGAAAGUGAGGUGGGAAGAGCGUGAGCAUGUAUUGUCAAUUUUUUGGCAGAUGGGAGCCGUGCGUUUCAUUUAUGAAAUGGUAUUAGAAUUAUAUGUGUAUGUAAAGGAGUAUGGUCACGAACCUAUAUUUUCGAAAUAAUUUCAUAAUAUACAUGCGAAGCGACUAUAACAUUUUACUUGAUAAAAUUUAAUCUCUCUCUCACGCACGCGUGUGAACUUUCAUGUGUAACAUGGACAGCGCUAGCAUGACCACGCUGUCACUUUCUAUGAGUAAAGGUGCAGUUUGGGCUUUUCAUUUUUGCAUAAUGGGGCAACCGGAUGUAAAUUUGCUUUGGAAAAUGAUCUUUUUUGCACGUGCUGGUAUUUUAAGAAACAAAUCUAAUGAUAUUCGAGAAAGAGAAAUUCAUGAAGAGUUGACUACCGAUUUUAGAUGGUGGAUAUUCAUCCAAAAUUUUAGAAGAUGAUAUCAUGUAGUCAAGUGUCGGAAAAUCACAUACUAUAAAUAAAAAUAUUCACAUUUUACAAAGGUUGCACUUAUAACAUAAAUUAGAAAUUUUUCAUAUACUAUCAUAAUUUUAAUAUUAAAAUAUUCUUUGUUGCACUUGGUUAUAAUAAAACUUCAUCAAACGUCAUUGCAAAAUACUUGAAAAUUUUGAAAAUAUUAAAACAUCAUAUAUUAACAUGUGUAAUUGGUCCGUUUAUGAAAUCUAGUGGUGGUGGUGGAGGCGGCAAUAGUAGUGGUAAUAGCAGCAACAAUAGUAAUAUUGUCCGUUUAGGAAAUUUAGUAGCAGUAACACUUCUUGUGGCUAAUAACUCCAUUACUCAUGCAAAAAGUGACGGACCAUUAUGUGGGCAUUACCCAUUAUACAUAGACCUGUAUUAGCAUCUACUUCUCCCUUGAAAAGCCAUUGAACUUGAAUUGUUGAAGCAAAUAGUUGAGUUGAGUUACUCUGUAGUAACAGAGAAAUUGUCUAAUGAAUCCCAAAUUCAUUGUUAGAUAUUAAUUCUGUUUUGAACUUUUUAAUCGUGUCAAUUUAGCCCUAAACAUUUGCACAAAAUCCCUAUGUAAUCAUCUCAGCUAAUUUUCACUGGAAAUUAUUGGUGUGACACUCCAAUGAAUUUACAAGUGCAUUGAACACUCAACUAAAGCUGCUCUAGCCUGCAGCUUCCUCAAAGUAGAAGUAGCUAUACAACAUGACAUGUAUAAACUCGGUAAUCAAUCAUUUCAAACGACGCGAAGAAUAUACAUGUCUCUUCUAAAGGAGGCAUCAAAGACUUCACUUGUAACUCUUCCCCAACUCCGCAUUCUCUACUUCAUCACUUUAAAGUUUGAACUAUUUAAUAUAAAGUUCAUGGAUUUUCAAACCCAUCAAGAUUCUUAGAAAAAGAACCACUAAACACUACUAAUCUCAUUAACUUAUUGUCUUAAUAUGGAAACAAAAGCAAGUUUCCCACUUUUACUCUUCCCCUCUUCCCCAAAUAGACAACCUCUAAUUAGGUUUGUGGUCCUAAAGAAUCAUGAAAGUAGGUAAAUCAUUUUUGAUCGAAUCCAUUCACAUUCAUUAAGGACUUUCUGUCAUUUUCUUUGAUUUGUUCUUCUUAUCAAGGAUCUUAAUAUGGAUAUUUCUAAGAUUUUGACCACCGAGCGUGGCCAGCAGCCAAGUGUAAUGGGUGAUGUGUACAAGGCUCAAAAGCAAACUCGCCGCUGUAUAAUUGAUGGACAGUUUUAGCGACUCAAAUUGUACUCAGAUUUCAUGAAUUGAGAUCUGAACUAAGAAUGAGUGUUUGGAUUUGGCUCAUACCCGUGUGAUCAUGACCCUUUGUCUCAGCCUUUGCAGCAUGUGUGUUGCCCAGGAGGUAAGAGGCAUGAAGCCUUGACCUCAUCCUCACCUUCCUUUGGCAUGUCCCCCAAAGCGUUUAGGAUUCCAAACUUAACAGGGACAUUAGGGUUGCACUCAUUUUGGGAUUUAGAACAACACCUUGUGGCACGAGCUAACGACCAUCAUAUGCACCACUUGUAUCGUCCGCAUUCCCAAAGGCAUGCCCCUCUAGCAUUGCAAAUAACUUCUGUAAUUUUGGAAGCAAAAAUAUGAGAAACAAAGGAUUAGCGAGGCAUACCCCCUGGCAUUGCAAAUAACUUCUGUAAUUUUGGACGCAAAAUACAAGAAACAAAGGUUUAGCAUUUCUUGAGGAUCAAUCACGAUUGAGAAGCCAUUUCUCAUGGGCAUGUCCUUAUACAAAGCCCCUUCUGAUGGACAAGGAUGAAAGUAGUUACUUGCUAUUAGAAAAAGAGAUAUCUGAAAGUGGUAUACACAAGUGAAAGAUCAUGAAGCAAUCUCCACUAAGCUGACCUAUCUUGCUGCUUCAAUUGGGUUUGUCAAUGAUUGAUUGGAGAUGAAUUUAGCAAUAAUAAGUAUGCCAAGGGUAGUGCUCAAAUCGGGUAGGGCCUCGAUUCACUAGAGCAGUCUGUGAUGCCUAAGUUAGUACGUGUAUCUAAGGGGAGAGAGAUAGAGGCCAUAUGCCAGGAUUUUAUAAUUAAGAAUUUGUUUGUUUCAUCAAAAAUUUCUUGAUAAAAAGUAAUAUUUACCAUGAAAAUCAUUAUUAAGGAAAACGUUAAAUUUUCAUUUGUUUAGUAGAUUAAGAAAAGUGAUUUCCUUCUUGCCAAAAAGAAGAAGUAAUUUUCUUUCAAUCUAAACUUCUUGUUUUCAGUCCAUGGAAAACGUUUCCCAUAACUUAAUUAGUUUUCCAUCAUUCAAAUAUCGGAAUGUAAGAAAACAAUUUCCUACAAACGGUCUUCUUUCAAAUAAAUGGAUCCUGGUAUUAUGGAAGAGGUAGACUAGGAGCUUUACCUAGUGGGCCAUAAGAAUUGGACCUAAGCAUCCCAAUCCAAUUGUAGUAAGCCAAUAUAAGGAGGCCCAUUUACAAAUAAGUGUUUGGAUCAUGUAUUGAACAUAGCAAUUGGGCCAUGCAAGAGUGGAUGGGCUUUGCUUAUUUAAUAUUCUGGUUUGCGUGCUACGGCAGGGUCCAAUGGUCACAUUUGCAAUUGCAUGGGCUUUUGCUUUUUUGAUAUUCCGGUUUGCACGUUUCACAAAUCAAGGAAAAUUUCAAUUAAGAGCCUAAAGUAGAACCGUUUUCUCAAGAAAGGACCCAAAAUGGAUAUUGUCUCAAACAAGAACCUAAAGUGACUAACUUAAUUUCAAAUAAGGGCCUCAACUUAAAAGCCAACCAAAUCUUAUUUGCAUAUAGGGGUAUUUUCGUCUAAAUUUUUUUUUCCUUCUUUUUUUUUUAAAUUUAUUUUCUCAUUCUCUUUCUUUUAUUCAUCAUCAUCAUCGUGCCUUCGCCUUUUUCACUCUUUAGAUCGCUUUCUCCAAAGUCCAUCUCUAGCUUCCUUACCGAAUUAGCCAUCAAUGCCCUCAACCUCAUUUGUAAUUGCCCUCAACAGCAAUUCCAAUACAUUUGUUGAAAGAUGGAGGUCAAUCCAAGCCCUAGAUCAAGCACGAGUGGACCAAGAUGUGACGCUUAGGUCGAUUCGAUCCCCACAUCUUGCUGUCGUGGUAAACCACGAAGCAUGAUAAGUUGUAAGCCAUUAGCUUGCUGCCCUUGUUGUCGUCGAUGCUUGAAUUCAAAUCGGUGUUCACGCAGGCUAUGAUUGAUCUUAGCGAGGAGAAGCUAGAUUGAAGUUCCUAAGCCAAAUUUAUUAAAGGUUUUUGAGGAAUCUCUGUGAUACUCAUGUGCAUUGAUUUGUUUAGUGAAAUACGUGGUUUUGGAAAUUCCUGAGCGAUUUUGUACUUUUUUCAUUUUGUUAUUCUCUCUCAAAUCUGUGUAGAUAAUAUUUCAGAGUUAGAGAGGCAAAUUUGUUUGAACAUGUGUAGACCAGAGUCAUUUGUUUUUUAGAUUAAGUGAUGUCUGAUUCGAAUUGCCACCAAAGAUGAGUAUCUCCAAUCAUGGGUUAGAAUGAUUCAGCAGCCUUUGAAAAUAACCCGCAUGCACGACACAAUAGGACCCUCUCAAGAAGCCAUAUAUUCCACCUCAAUGCAAGCUGUGUCUAUGAAUGUUAUGAAUAAUCCAACCCGGACCCAAUAAAACAUUCCCAAGAAGCUAUGAGUGAAAGUUAUCGUGGCAUCGACAAUUUCAUUGGUGGGGAGAGCAUGAAACUGUUACUUUAAUUGCCAUAAUAAGUUUUUAAGAAAAUUGAAUAAAAACAAAACCCACUGAUGAUAUUUCUUGAUUCUCAAGUCCAUUAUUGUCAUCGGAGAAAGUGAGUGGUGGCGAAUAACUUAAAAACCAGCUUAUGCCAAAAUCAAUGAGUUCUUGGGUGAGGAUGCAAAAUUGCAUAAUGUAGAGCAUGCGCUUUGAAGUUUGCUAAUGGGGAGGCUGCAAAACUGAAGCACACAAUUUGCAGUUUUCCAAAACUGCAUAACUUCUUAAAUAUCUUUUCGUUUUCUUCUUUUCCUAAACUGUUUAAAUUGUUUUACACUUGUGCAAGCUCGUGUGUGAGGAGUCUGAUGCAUUUGUUAAGAAGGAGGUGAGCAAGAUGAAAAAAGAAAGAAAAAAAAAGAAAAAGGAAAAAAAAAGUCUUUAGACGAAAAUACCCCUAGCUGCAAAUAAAAUUUGAUUGGCUUUCAAGUUGAAACCCUUAUUCGAGACUAAAUUGGUUACUUCUGUCCCUUAUUUGAUACAAUGUCCACUUUAGGCCCUUUUUUGAGAAAGCAGUUCCACUUCAGGCCCUUAAUUGAAAUUUUCCCCACAAAUCACAACCUGCAAUAGUUACAUAUAGACUGAUCUCUCCUACAUUAAAUGGAGUAGGCUUGAAAGAUCUAACUUUAUGCAUGUUUUGGACCUCUUAUACCUUAAUUUUGUGCAAAUCAAAUAAAUAUUUUAUCAUCGUCACCUAUACAUAAACUUUUUAAAGUCCUUAAUGUGAUUUUUUUUUUUUUUAUCUCUUUUGAGCUUCACAAUUGUUGUUUCAAAUGCUUAUUACAUUUAGUUGUACCAAGAACGAUAAUAUACAUGUGAAUUGGAACUUUCUUGGGAUGAGAAUGUAUAUAACUACCGAUAAUUCGAAAUUAGUGAAUGGAAACGUGCAAAACCACUAGCAUUUUGAAUUACUAAAGCAUCCUCUUUUGGAUCUUUUCCUUUGCUAGUCUUGAAUCCAAAUCAUGGGUGUUAAUAAAUAAACAUAGACAGAUUUCAUCAACAAAACUAAUAAACUAAAUAAAAUAGAGAAAGAGAUACUAGGUAACAAGAAUCAUAGCUGAAAUCAUAUAACUUUUAAAAUUGGGCAUCCUCUUCUGAUGGUUGCUCGAUGAUUCAAGCUUUUUAUUUUCAAUUCAUGCAGAAUAUUUUCAGUCGAUUGAGUAGUUUUCCAUCAUCAAAACGCUGAAAAGUCCAAAAAUGAUUUUUCAAAAAUGGUUUUUUAUCAAACAAGCUGACCUUGAGGAUCUUACACGUACCUUUAGUAGGAACAAUUCAUCUUCAUCAUUGAGAUACGGAUUUUGAUUUAGCAACUGGAAGGUAAAGAAAAGACAAAAAAGAAGAGUAUAAACUCUUGACUAUAAAAAGAAGAAAUAAAUGGGAGAUGGUUAAAUUGCUUCUGUCCUUUUCCAUCAUCAAAGUACAAGCUUGUUGCUCAUUACAUCCUUAAAUAUUGCUAAAAAGAGCUAGGUUAACUAAUUUUUGUCACUUCAGUGAAUCUUACAUAGUGUAAAGUUGAAUUCCGUCGGUUUCUAAUUAGAACCAAUGAUAAAGUACCAAGUGUGUUGGAUUCCGAUGUAAUUGGGUAUUUGGAAGUGUCUCAUGUUGCCGAAUAUAGCAUUAGGAAUCACUAUGACAAAAGAGAAUAGAAUCAAAAUCAAUCAUGAUAAAGAUCGAAAGUAUACGCGCUUCUGACAUCAGGAGAAUAUUUGGAUCAAAGGGCUCCUUGCUUUUGAAUGAAGAAUUGAUAGAUAAAGCAUUUUGAAUAAGAGUUACUUCUUCUUUUUUACUAUACUUGUAAAUUUGCACACGUACUGCAUGUGCGCAAGAAAUCGAGGUCUGAAAAAUUGAGCAAAUUCACUUUAUUAUGAAAUGUUAAAAUUGCUAAAUAAUGGGAAACGGAUUAUUAAUAAUGAUACACAAUUCAAUUGUGUAUAUAUUUGUGGACUAAAGAAUUUCAAGAUUGAAAUCUUUUUAAGAAAGUUGUUUAGGAUUGAAAAUAUGUAUAUUUUUAUGUUAAUGCAUGUGAAGAUAUAAAAUAUAAUCGUAAGUUUAUGCAUUCGUGCAUAGACACAAUAUUUAUAAAAUAAAUAUCUAAUGAUUUUUGGGGAAAGAGAAGAACCGAUUGAGAUCAAUAUUUACAGCCCGUAAGCUUUAGAAAUUGGAAGAUGAAAAUUAUCUUUUUAAUUUGUGUUUAGCUUCUCAAGAACCCAUUUUGAAUAUUGAUAAUAGCUGAAGAAUAUGUUCCAUGGUAUUUCCCAUUUUAGAAUGCCAAAAAGUGAAAUUGGUUUUUAGAAGCACUUAUUUUAAUAUGCUUACGAGGUUCCAAUGCUUCCCACCACGAACUGCUUUCAAGCCUGGUUGCGAUAAUCUAAUUUAAGUGAGGUUGUUAUCGAUUAUUUUCAUCUACGAAAAUAUAAUAUAACACAUUGUAUUAAUCACAUAAUGGAAGCAUGCCAUAUUUACUGUGACAUCCCGAUUUUUCAAUUCUAUUUUCAAUAAAUUGAGACAAGCAUUUCGUUGGCACGCAUAUAGUUUUUUUCCUUGAGUCGGCCACGCAUGUGAAAACUAGUCUAUCGGGUGAAGCCGUUAAGAAAUUCUAAUGCAUCAGACUCGAGAAUUUGACUAGGAAGCGAUCUUUCGACCGAGCUAAUCUACAAGGGUCAUUACGGCACAAUUAAAAAUCGAUUAGAGAUCGGAAAUAGGUCGACUGGACAGAGGCAUGUAAUCGGGUGUGGGUGAUUACACCAGAUUGCACAAUUCUUGUCGAUCGGCACUGGACCGACUUUUUUAUCGAUUGGGUACCCUGUGUUCGUAUUUGAAACCUUGAGAUUACCCCGACAACCGAAAGUCGCCAAUGUUUCAAAGAUGUACGUUGUGGCUUGAGAUGAUCAACCACAUGUCAAAUGCAUGAAAAUUUUUAAAGGCUACCCGGUAGGUUAGACCGCGCUGGUAUCAUGCCAAAGUGAAAUUAACCGUGGAAUUGAGAUCGAAUUCAGAAAUUGGAAAUCUGGGUGUGUCACAAAUCAUUUCAGGAUCAUUGAAUCAUCUUUGGAAGAUUUUUCAUGCAAUCAGAGUUUUUCAGCAAUUAAAUCAGAGAAUGGCUAAUUUGGCUCGAGAAAUUAGUAGGCUCGUCUUUGGUCGCGCUUUUGGGACUUAAGUCGGUUCUAUGGACAAGUGAAGAUGUGAAUUAGAGUGUGGUGGCAUUGGAUUAAUUUUAUGGACUUCAAUUUGAUUCAAUUGGGAGAGAAUUGAUUGGAAUUGAAGGAAUUGAUGUACAAAGUUUUAUGCCCCGGCGGAAAAUGGAAUUGCAACCAUUGGAAUAAGGUUGUGGGAGAUAGUGGAGUGUGAUGUCAUCCUAGGUCAUGGUGGGCCAUUUUUGUUGGAUAAAAGAAAGAGAAAAAGAAAAUAAAAAGGGCCCCCCUCCUUCUCUCUCCUCCCUCUCUUCUUCCUCUCUCCCGUGCGACCACUCUCCAUCUCCAUUUUCUUCUCCAGCUUCGAACCAAGCAACCGGAAGCCAGCAGCCAUUGCAGCUGCAGCUGGAGCCGUCGCCGCCUUCGCCCUUCCGCUCGUCGUCGCAGCCGCGCCUCGCCGCUCGGACCUCGGCCUCCCUCUCUCCUCUCUUCUCCAUCUCCGGUUUCUACUCCAAGACCAGCAGAUCUGAGCACGCCGAGGAUGGCUGCAGCUCAGCCGGACCGCCGUUCGCCGCUCGCCCGACCAGCUCGCCCGUCGCCGAAGCUCGUUGCUGUCGCCAUUCGUCCACAUGCACGUUGUCUUGUGCGCGAGCUACUCCGCCCUCCUAUCUCUGCUUCGUGUUUAGCGCCAGCAGCCAUCGUCNNNNNNNNNNNNNNNNNNNNNNNNNNNNNNNNNNNNNNNNNNNNNNNNNNNNNNNNNNNNNNNNNNNNNNNNNNNNNNNNNNNNNNNNNNNNNNNNNNNNGCCGCCAUUGACCUCCCCACCGCCCAUCAAGCCCUCGCCGGUUUCUCGCCCAUUCGACGCGGAUCCGCCCUUCUCGGCCCCAAAUCAACAGCUGGAAAAUGGGUAUGGCAGCCCAUGUUUGGCCCAUUUUGGCGUCUUCCUGAGCCCGGAUGCUCGGCCCGCCUUGAGGAAAGUCGAUCCUCGCAUCGUCCCUGUCGUUUUGGUCCGCUCGGUUCGUUAAUCCGGUGAGUUUAGCUCACUAAACCUUGAUUAGAGGGUUAAUGAUGUUUUAGGGGUGCUUAUAUGUUAAGUGUUAUUAGGUGGUUAGUUUAAUUUAUUUAAGUGUAGAUUAUAUUAAGGUGUUUGAUUAACUUAAAUUGUGUUUAAUUUAAGGUUAAGUGAGUGGUUAUAUUAAUAUAAGCAUUGAUGUGACAUAAAGGAAUUUACUUUUGAGUUAUUUAAAUAUCCCGAAAUUAUUAAAUAAUUUAAUAAUAUAUUAUUAUUCGAAAUUAUUAAAAUAUUAUUAUUUAAUUAUUUUCGGAAGAAAUUUAAUUAUUUAUUAAAUUCCGAAAAUUUUGUCAGCACCUUAAAUUCUCAAAAUUUCGUGCCGAUCGCUGCUAUGUAGUCAGAUUUUGAAAUUGAUGAUUGGAUAUUAUAAAUUGAGUGUUGAUUGUGAUAAAUAGAGAUUUUAUUCAUAAAAACCCAAGUGUCGGGUUUGGCAUUGAAAUUGGAUUUUUAAUGGUUAAUAUCGUAAUUGGAUUAUGUGAGUGAAAUGUAAAGUAUCUAGGGAUCGGUAUCGAAUUAUCGUGUGCUGGUUGAAAGGCUCGGAUCGCAGUAGUGGCUAGGCCAACUGGACCCUUAUUUUGCUAUAAAUGCCGUCAAGAGAGUGACGUGGCUCGGGUCGCAGUAGUGGCUAGGCCAACUGGACCUUUAUUCAUUUAGAAAUGCCGUCAAGAGAGUGACGUGGCUCGGGUCGCAAUAGUGGCUAGGCCAACUGGACCUUUAUUCAUUUAGAAAUGCCGUCAACAGAGUGACGUGGCCCGGGUCGCAGUAGAGGCUAGGCCAACUGGACCCAUGCUCCUUCGGGAAUGCCGUCGACAUAGUGACGAAGCCGCGCUCCAAGGGGGGGAGGCGAUGCCUAGCAUUAAUGUUAGAAGAUAGCCGAACUGCAAGUAGGCUAUGCCCUUGUGUGGCAGCAAAUAAUAAUUGGAAUGCGUGCUAAGUGCGGCUGUGAUUUAUAUGAAAGUGAUGGCGUUCCAAUUGUUUGAAUUAUUAUUACUACCUAUGAUUGAGUGAUUUGAAUUGUGCUAACCUGCAGAAAGGAUCUAAGGCAAGGUAAGUUCUCUAUGUGAUGUGGCUAGGCCACCCUUAGGCGUAUUUUCUUUCUAAUAGGGGUUUAGGGGGUUGAACUUGUUGAGACAUUGUCUCAUCCCGGUUUGGGGAUUAAAAUUUCAGGUCCCUAGAUGGCGGUCGUGGAGGACCCGAAGCCCUAAGUCUGGAAAGGUGGAGACUGAAGUAUCGGUGAACGUGUCCUGCUAGUUGGUUUUAGGAUAGUUCCCCUUUUAUCGAACUGGUCUAUUUUGUAGACGGUCCAGAGUUGUAUUUAAACCUAUGUGUUUGUAAAUGAGUGUUUGGUGUUGCGAUUGAUUGCCUUUUUUUCUAUACCAAGUUAAAUGUUGUCAGGGGAUUUGUUUCGCUUCCACAUGCGUAAUGAAAUGAAUGGGUCGGCGACAUAUCCUGGGAUGUCGCAUAUUUGAUUGACCGCAGUGGGAUGUGCGCGCACUCGGGGUUCAGGGCGUGACAUCCCCGUUUAAGUGGUAUCAGAGCAUGGUUUGUGUAUGGAGUGAUAAGGUGCGAUGAGUCACGAGAUAGUUAGUAGGAAAGGCUUUUAAUAUACUGAUGCAUGUGGUUAAUAGUUGUUUGGUAAUGUGUUUGUGGGGUCACUCAAAUUCUAACAUGAUGUUGGAAUCGGAAAACUGGCGUCUAUAAAGAGCCUGUAGCAUGAGUGACCAGGAGUGGAGAACUCCUUGGAGGAGGUCGAUAGGACUUGUACCUCGGGGUAAGAUGCUGACAAGAGUUGGUACCCGAGGUAGAGCGCAGGCUCAGUCUAGCGUGUGUGUGAGAGUACCGCCGUAGGCAGGUACUGAGAGUGUAGCAGCACCGAGCGAUCUUAGGUUCGUUGGGAUCGUUCAGGCACUAGUGUUCCUUGGAAGCUUGUUGGGUCAGUAAGCUCAGGACCAAGCUGCCGUUGUUGCCGUUAUUUCUACCAAUGCCAGUGUUAUGACCGUUGUUGUUGCCACGCCUAUUGAGGCCCAAUCUGGAGUGGUGAUCGAGGAUCAAGCCAUCGUAUCUAAGUCAAAGUUCAGCUUAAGCAGAGAUGGAAAUCGAUUGGGGAGAAAGGCCGAUGUUAGAAGAAAGGUGCCCUGUUUCACCCAACCGGAAGAGUAGAGUUGGAAAGUCAGUGUUCAACUCGAUCGAUGUGUGUCGUGUCUGUAAGAAAAGAAAGAGAUCUAUUCCGUGUUGUAAGAGAGAAAGGAUUUGUUACAAGGGUCGCUAGUACAGUCAUUUGAUCAAAGAUUGUCCGUAUAGACAGAUGGAAUCACAGCUGUUUCUAUCACCGCCGUUGUUAAGUCAAAACAGAGGAAGCAUGCUUUAAGAUGUUUAGUGGGGUACUUGGAAUGAACCUUAGUGCAAGGAAGGGUGCAUGAUGUUCCUUGAUGGGAGAUAACGAAUUCACUGGUCGUGUGCCGAGAUUGUGGAAAGGAGGCUUGAGUCAGCCUAGUGUUAGAGUAAAAAUGGGGACGUGCUUUGAAUGUGGCUAGCAUGGCCGUCAGGUUAGGAACUGUCCGUGUAAGUUUAGGAGAGUGUAAGCACCGUUACUGCAGAUAGAACGCCGCUAGGAUGGCGAAAGGAAUAGGAAUGGAUUGACUAUGCAUUAAUUAAGGGAAGAAUGUUUUGAGGUGUUUUAUCAGAGUAGCACAACAGGAUUUUGAGUGAAGGUUGUGGAGUUUCCGUUGUUGUAAUAAAGUAAUAGGAAGAUGAGUCUUUGACUAUAGUUAUACCUGAUGGGUUUGCUUAUGUAUGACUUGGAAGUCAUUUAUGAAAAGGUCUGGCUCGAGGAGCUUUCCGCUGUUAUGAAUCGUGGCAGUGAUAUAAUUCGGUUUGUUCAGUCAGCGUAUGAAAGUUUUGAAUUACUGAAAGUCGAAGAGGAACUUCAAUCCUUGUUAUUCGUCGUUGAAGAUGACUUGGUUCUAUUUGUUGGUUACCGAAUUUGCAUGGCAGCUGUAAUGGGUAUGUCAGUUGAGAAGCUGAAUAUGGAGAACAUAAUCAUGGUACAUAAGUUUUCUAAGGUAUUCUCUGAAGAAUUGUCAGGUUUGUUGUCAGAAAGAGAAAUAGAGUUCGUGAUGAAAUUAGCACCCGGAACAGAGCCAGUCCCUAAGGCUCCUUACCAGAUGGUGUUACCCGAGUUAAAAGAACUGAAGGUGUAGAUGUAGGAAGUGUUGGAUAGGGGAUUCAUACGUUCCAGUGCAUCAUCUUGGGUAGCAUCUUUUCUAUUCGUGAAGGAGAAAUGUGGUUCGUUGUAGUUGUACAUCGAUAUUCUUCAAGAUCGACUUGAGGUCAGGGUAUCAUUAGUUGAGGAUCAGGAAGAAAGACAUAUCGAAGUUAAGUCACACUCGAUACAGUAGUUAUGAGUUCACUGUAAUGCUGUGUGGUUUAAUGGACACCCCAACUGUUUGUUUGGGUUUGAUGAGCAGAAUGUUUAAGGACACUUGAAUCAGUUGUGAUCGUGUUCAUUGAAGUUAUCCUAGUGUGUUCGAAGAGUGCCGAGGGGCAUGAGAGACGUUUGAGGAUGGUACUUCAGACCUUAAGUACUCUUGGAUUUUACAAUAAGCUUAGCAGAUGCGAGUUUUGGAUGACUCGUGUUGCGUUCCUAGGUCUUGUGAUUUCAAGAGAAGGAAUCUCCGUAGGCCCCGUCCAAGAUUGAAGCAGCGACCAGUUGGCCGAUAUUGACUACAAUGACAGAGAUUGGAAGUUUCUGGGAAUUAGCAGGAUAUUACAGAAGUUUUAUGGAAGGGUUUUCAGCGUCAGCAUUGCAGUUGAUUCGACUACUGAGGAAGUAAGAAAAGUUUGUGUGGUCAGAUGAGUGCGAGCGUAGUUUUCAAGAGCUUAAGCAGAAGCUGACUACCGCACUUGUGCUGACCAUUCCAUCUGGUCUUGAAAGUUAUGAGAUCUGCAAUGAUGCAUCGUUUAAAGGAUUUGGUUGCUUGUUGGUGCAACAAGAUAGGGUUGUUGCAUAUGCGUUCCGUCAGUUAAGACCUCGGGAGUUGAAUAUGAGACAGCGUUGUUGGAUGGAACUCAUUAAGGAUUAUGACUAUGAUAUUUUGUAUCACUCUAGAAAAGUGAGCAAAGUCACAGAUGCACUGAGUCGAGAGUCCUUAGUUGCACAGUUGGUACUCAAGGAUUGGAUCUUAUUUGAGAAAGUUCGAAAUUCGGUUUUCAAAUCUAAGGUAGGCCACAUUUUGAAUCUUAUGACUACCCUCAGAAUUGAGCCGAGAGUACAGAUCAGAAUCAAAUCGUUUCAGUGGACAGAUUUAGAAAUUCAGAAGACUUUAUAAGAGAAUGCAGAUGAGGGAGAGGUUGAGUUUCAGAUCUCUGAAAACAUAAUGCUAAGGUUCUAAGGACGAUUGUGUGUAAUUGACGAUGCAGAGAUUAAAGAAGAGAUCUUAUGGGAAGUUCAUCAUAGCAAUUUCAGAGUCAUCUAGACGGUGCGAAGAUGAGUUAGAAUCUACAUCAUCGGGAUUGGUAGAUCAGUAUGAAGAUAGAUAUCGCCGAACACGUUGUAAGUGUUGAAUGUAUCAAUAAGUGAGAAUUUGGUAAUGUAAACCAGGAAAGCUUUUUCAAGCAUUUGAGAGAGUCAUGUGUAGGAAUGGAAGUAUAGCAUGAUGGAAUGUUAUGACAGCUUAUUAAGGAGUCGGGAAGAGUAUUGAUUCCUUAUGGGGUUGUGGUCGACAGAUGCACAAAGUCAACUCACCUUAGUGCAACACGAAAAGAUCUCGAUUAGAAUAGAUAUACCGAAGUGUGUGUAUAUCAUAUAAAUCAUCUGCAUGGAGUGCCGGGGAUGCAUUGUAUUUCAAAUCUAGAUCAGAUUCCAAGCUGGCAGAGCUUUUAGAUGGUUCCUUCUUAAGUAGCACAUAGCAGAGAGUGCAGAAUUUCAAUUGCUGAGAUGAAGUCAAGGAAAGAAAGAUCACAGGCCAGGGUUAGUACAACAGUCAGUGAUUGCAGUUGCCGAAAUCAGUGUCAAAGUUAUAUCAAAUCUUGACCAGAGGUUCCCAGUUUCAGCAGAUCAGUCAGAUAGUUUCUUUUUUUAUCAGUGCAGAGCAGAGUGUUCAGGACUUCAAUCGGUUAAGAUGAGAUCAGAGAUCAGAAAAUCGUAGGUCCAGAGUUUGUCCAGAAAUCAGUGAUUCGGUCGUGAUUAUUAGAGACAGUUUAGAGACUGCUCAGAAUCGCCAGUUUAGUUUCGCAGAUUUUGUAUUGAAGACCUUUUGAAUUUUAAGUGGGCAAGUGUUUAGUAUUGUGCAUCCGAAGUGGUUUGGGCAAGAUAGCAGUGAUCUGGCAUCGCUGAUAUAGAAAGAGCAACCUGAGAAAGAGAAUUCUAGAUGAGACGAGUGUACCCCCACCUUUUUGUUUAAGAAUUGGUAAAGGUUUAAAUUUCGAGGACGAAAUUUUUAUAAGAGGGUAAGAGUUGUAACAUCCUGAUUUUCCAAUUCUAUUUUCAAUAAAUUGAGACGGGCAUUUCGUUGGCACGCAUAUAGUUUUUUUAUCCUUGAGUCGGCCACUCAUGUGAAAACUAGUUUAUCGGGUGAAGCCGUUAAGAAAUUCUAAAGCAUCAGACUUGAGAAUUUGACCAAGAAGCGAUCUUUCGACCGAGCUAAUCUGCAAGGGUCAUUACGACACAAUUAAAAAUCGAUUAGAGAUCGGAAAUAGGUCGACUCGAUAGAGGCAUGUAAUCGGGUGUGGGUGAUUCCACCAGAUUGCACAAUUCUUGUGGAUCUGCACUGGACUGACUUUUCUGUCGAUUGGGUACCCUGUGUUCGUAUUUGAAACCUUGAGAUUACCCCGACAACCGAAAGUCGCCAAUGUUUCAAAGAUGUACGUUGUGGCUUGAGAUAAUCAACCACAGGUCAAAUGCAUGAAAAUUUCUAAAGGCUACCCGGUAGGUUGGACCGCGCUGGUAUCGUGCCAAAGUGAAAUUAACCGUGGAAUUGAGAUCGAAUUCAGAAAUUGGAAGUCUGGGUGUGUCACAAAUCAUUUCAGGAUCAUUGAAUCAUCUUUGGAAGAUUUUUCAUGCAAUCAGAGUUUUUCAGCAAUUAAAUCAGAGAAUGGCUAAUUUGGCUCGAGAAAUUAGUAGGCUCGUCUUUAGUCGCGCUUUUGGGACUUAAGUCGGUUCUAUGGACAAGUGAAGAUGUGAAUUAGAGUGUGGUGGCAUUGGAUUAAUUUUAUGGACUUCAAUUUGAUUCAAUUGGGAGAGAAUUGAUUGGAAUUGAAGGAAUUGAUGUACAAAGUUUUAUGCCCCGGCAGAAAAUGGAAUUGCAACCAUUAGAAUAAGGUUGUGGGAGAUAGUGGAGUGUGAUGUCAUCCUAGGUCAUGGUGGGCCAUUUUUGUUGGAUAAAAAAAAGAGAAAAAGAAAAUAAAAAGGGCCUCCCUCCUUCUCUCUCCUCCCUCUCUUCUUCCUCUCUCCCGUGCGACCACUCUCCAUCUCCAUUUUCUUCUCCAGCUUCGAACCCAGCAACCAGAAGCCAGCAGCCGUCGCAGCUGCAGCUGGAGCCGUCGUCGCCUUUGCUCGUCCGCUCGUCGUCGCAGCCGCGCCUCGCCGCUUGGACCUCGGCCUCCCUCUCUCCUCUCUUCUCCAUCUCCGGUUUCUGCUCCAAGACCCAGCAGAUCUGAGCACGCCGAGGAUGGCUGCAGCUCAGCCGAACCGCCGUUCGCCGCUCGCCCGACCAGCUCGCCCGUCGCCGAAGCUCGUUGCUGUCGCCAUUCGUCCACAUGCACGUUGUCUUGUGCGCGAGCUACUCCGCCCUCCUAUCUCUGCUUCGUCCGCGCGCCAGCAGCCAUCGUCCGUCGUCCCGAGCUGCCGGAGCUCGUCCCCGUCACCGUGAGCCGCCAUUGACCUCCCCACCCGCCCGUCCAAGCCCUCGCCGGUUUCCUCCGCCCAUUCCGACGCCGGAUCCGCCCUUCUCGGCCCCAAAUCAGCAGCUGGAAAAUGGGUAUGGCAGCUCAUGUUUGGCCCGUUUUGGCCGUCUUCCUGAGCCCGCACGCUUGGCCCGCCUUGAGGAAAGUCGAUCAUCGCGUUGUCCCUGUCGUUUUGGUCCGCUCGGUUCGUUAAUCCGGUGAGUUUAGCUCACUAAACCUUGAUUAGAGGAUUAAUGAUGCUUUAGGGGUGCUUAGUUUAUGUUAAGUGUUAUUAGGUGGUUAGUUUAAUUUAUUUAAGUGUAGAUUAUAUUAAGGUGUUUGAUUAACUUAAAUUGUGUUUAAUUUAAGGUUAAGUGAGUGGUUAUAUUAAUAUAAGCGUUGAUGUGACAUAAAGGAAUUUACUUUUGAGUUAUUUAAAUAUCCCGAAAUUAUUAAAUAAUUUAAUAAUAUAUUAUUAUUCGAAAUUAUUAAAAUAUUAUUAUUUAAUUAUUUUCGGAAUAAAUUUAAUUAUUUAUUAAAUUCCGAAAAUUUUGUCAGUACCUUAAAUUCUCAUAAUUUCGUGCCGGUCGCUGCUGUAGUCAAAUUUUGAAAUUGAUGAUUGGAUAUUAUAAAUUGAGUGUUGAUUGUGAUAAAUAGAGAUUUUAUUCAUAAAAACCCAAGUGUCGGGUUUGGCAUUGAAAUUGGAUUUUUAAUGGUUAAUAUCGUAAUUGGAUUAUGUGAGUGAAAUGUAAAGUAUCUAGGGAUUGAUAUCGAAUUGUCGUGUGCUGGUUGAAAGGCUCGGAUCGCAGUAGUGGCUAGGCCAACUGGACCCUUAUUUUGCUAUAAAUUUCGUCAAGAGAGUGACGUGGCUCGGGUCGCAGUAGUGGCUAGGCCAACUGGACCUUUAUUCAUUUAGAAAUGCCGUCAAGAGAGUGACGUGGCUCGGGUCGCAGUAGUGGCUAGGCCAACUGGACCUUUAUUCAUUUAGAAAUGCCGUCAAAAGAGUAACGUGGCUCGGGUCGCAGUAGUGGCUAGGCCAACUGGACCUUUAUUCAUUUAGAAAUGCCGUCAACAGAGUGACGUGGCCCGGGUCGCAGUAGAGGCUAGGCCAACUGGACCCAUGCUCCUUCGGGAAUGCCGUCGACGUAGUGAUGAAGCCGCGCUCCAAGGGGGGGAGGCGAUGCCUUGCAUUAAUGUUGGAAGAUAACCGAAUUGCAAGUAGGCUAUGCCCUUGUGUGGCAGCGAAUAAUAAUUGGAAUGCGUGCUAAGUGCGGCUGUGAUUUAUAUGAAAGUGAUGGCGUUCCAAUUGUUUGAAUUAUUAUUACUACCUGUGAUUGAGUGAUUUGAAUUGUGCUAACCUGCAUAAAGGAUCUGAGGCGAGGUAAGUUCUCUGUGUGAUGUUGCUAGGCCACCCUUGGGCGUAUUUUCUUUCUAAUAGGGGUUUAGGGGGUUGAACGAGUUUGGGGAUUAAAAUUUUAGGUCCCUAGAUGGCGGUCGUGGAGGACCCGAAGCCCUAAGUCUAGAAAGAUGGAGACUGAAGUAUCGGUGAAUGUGUCCUGCUAGUUGGUUUUAGGAUAGUUCCCCUUUUAUCGAGCUGGUCUAUUUUAUAGACGGUCCAGAGUUGUAUUUAAACCUAUGUGUUUGUAAAUGAGUGUUUGGUGUAGCGAUUGAUUGCCUUCUUUUCUAUCCCAAGUUAAAUGUUGUCAGGGGAUUUGUUUCGCUUCCACAUGCGUAAUGAAAUGAAUGGGUCGGCGACAUAUCCUGGGAUGUCGCAUAUUUGAUCGACCGCAGUGGGAUGUGCGCGCGCUCGGGGUUCGAGGCGUGACAUUUACUUUCAAUCACAACCUAGCUCGAAUCAUCAGGGGCCGCCGGAAUCGAACCGGCAUCGACCAUAAGAACGCGUGGCAACAAGGCACAAUCCGCAAUCGGCGACAAGGAGGGAAGGGAAAGAGGGGAGGGGAGGAGCAAUCGGCUCGCGAAGGAACAUGGGCGGAAUCCGCCCGAUUCUCUCUUCUCGAUCUCCCUCCACAUUCUUCGAGCAUCUUCGUCCUCUCUCUCUCCCCCCACUUCGCCCCUCCGUCCUCAAAAGCCACGGACGAACUUGGGAAGAAGGAGAUUCAGGGCGUCUGCGAAAUGUUCUGGUUCGAGCCCAGGAACAAGAUGGAAAAGACGACGACGGUGAAGAAGAAGCUGAUUCGAGAAUUCCAAAAUUUGUGUUUUUUCCUUUUUAUGUGCCGAGAUUUACCGGCCCAAUUCGGGGAACUGUUGGGAGAUUUGAACUGGGCUCCUGAACUAGGUUAUGAUCGAAAGUGUUUUUCUGAUACCUGAACAAGCAAGGGACGUUUUUAUCUUUUCUAUCCUUCAACUCCCCCUCUCUUUCUCUCUCCUCCUCCUCCUCCUCCUUCUUCUACGUGGGUUUUCCGGGAAAAUAAGGAAAACAGCCAGAAAGCACAGGGAAAGAGAGAGACAGAGAGAGACCCGGAUCAGUCAAACGAAGCCUCGCGGUGCCUUUUGCGGGUCGUGUGUUUUCUACUCUGGGCGAAAGCACGAUACCAGUAGAUCACUAUAGGCGCUCCGUUUCAGGUGCUACUGUGUAUAUUAAUGGCGGAAUCUUGGCGGAGUUAUAGCCGUGCGCAGACAGCGGAGUGGAUACGAAUGGAGGAGACGAGGUUGAAGACACCUCAAACCCGAACGGCCCCACCCACAUAUAAAUAGGAUCUUCCUCGUCGCAGCCAGAAAUACCGAUUUUGCCGCCUUCUUUUUCUUUUUCUUUUUCUUUUUCUUUUAUUUCUUUUGGGCAAUGAUCCUUUUUUUUUCCCCGAAUUUCGUUAUUUGAAUUUCUUGAAUGAGCCCCGCGAUUUACUCCACUGCCUAGCAUGCUUAUGCACGAGCGCAAGCAAUUGCAAACGUAGGAUUUGGAUUUGGACAGACACGUUAGGCAAUUUAGCCAAGUAAGGAGCGAAGUAUAUUUUAUUCAACCUUGAAGUGUGUUUAUCAUUUAUUCAAACCGAAAUUUUCACACACACACAUAUAUACAUAUAUAUCUCAAGAUAGAAAUCACAGUUAUCAAGCAAAUAAAGAGAUAGACAGAGGAAAUUAUAAUCUUCCAGUCCAGAAUAGAUAAGGCUAUUUGUGUAAAAUUCCUUUUAUAUGAGUGCGUAGGAGCUAUUUGUGCAUGACGCACCAAUCGUAGGUGAGCGAUUGCUUCCUUGGGAGUACCCAAUCAUAAUAAUAAUACUUGCAUGUCGAAGAAAGUCAACUAAAAAAUUUAUGACGUCAUAGAAGUUUGUCAAAGGAGUAACUUGAGACAUUUGACACUCAGCAAAAAGAUAAAAAUAAAAGAUUUUUUUUUUUUGUGACCUAGGAAACCCCGAAAGCCGAUAGCCAGCAGGAAGAACCUGGGGGCAACAUGGGGAAACCACCACCCCAUGCCACCGGGUAAGUCACCAAGUAACUCCACUAGCCCCCUUGCGUUGCAAGGGCUUUGAACCUCUCCCCUCCCACGCAGAAGAUCACUAAAGCCUACCCAGCGGAGCCACCAGGGCCAGUGGUAAGAUUUUCUUUUAUUGUUUCUAUGCAACGAGUCCUCAAAAGGAAUUUCUAAAAAAUGCAGAGCUAUAUUGGGUCAAAGGGACUUCCCUCAGAAAUUGUGAAACUACGGGAGAAAAGGUUAUGUAUUCAAUAAAUUACUCAUAUUUACGCGUCACUCUAAUCUUAUGUGGUGAGUCCUUGACCAAUUUCCAAGCUAUUAGAAUUUUAGAAUAAUUUCUUCACUUCUCAAUAGUUGUUUCAUGAUAAAUUGAUUUGCUUAUCCCAAAUUAUGAAAUCUAAAAUUAUAUAUGAACAUGCAUUUAUUGAGACAUCUUAAAAAUUUCAAUGCGUUCCCACCAUCAUUUAUUAUUUAUUAUAUAUAAUAAUGGAGAUGUCAUUUGAAAUUUCAGAUCUUGAUGUAUGCACUGGGAUAACUAAUCAUAUUUCUUCUAUGAAAGUUUUAGCUGGCUCAAAAUUCUUGGCCUAUGCCUCUCUUGAUUAAGAGGACCUUUUGUUAAAUGGUGUUUGAGUACUUAACGUGGACUCCCAUUCAUAGAAUAGUCCUUUAUCAAACAUUUAAUAUGAGCAAAUCAUCAUAAGAUUCUUACGCACUGUCAAGAAUUUAAAAUGUGGAAUCUAACUUUUAUAAUUCUUAAGUAUGUUAAUUGCGAUAAAAUAAGAGUCCUACGGUACUUUCCUUGUUGUAGAGCCAACUUUAUGUUACAAUAGAAAUACAUUAACCCUUAUCAUGCUGUGCAUCCACAUUAUGCGACCCAUUGAUAUGGUGUCACCAAUUGAUAAAAGUGCUAUGGUUUAGAAAAUUACAAAAUAAUUCGGGCUAAGUACUUUAGGUUGGUCUUAACUUAGGAGUUACUCGAGUAGAAACCCCAUUUCAGUUAUGUGAAAGUGGUGUACAUUUUAGUUUUUUGGUCGAAAGGAUGAGUAAUAUUAACAUAACGGAGAGUAAUUACAAACAGCACAACCAGCCGCUAAAGCAUCAAAACAAAGUAAGGUAAGCAAAAAGGAGGGCGGCGAGGUAGCCCAAUCUUGAGAGAGGAGCCCAUUUCGAUGAGCCUUUGCAGCCCAAUCCACAACAGAGUUCGCUUGCUGUUUGCAAUGCGUUACCCUAGUAGAAAAGAAAUCGAGAGAGGAGGCUGAUGGCCUCUGCAGCGAUUGCACGAGCUUCCCAUGGCAAUGGCGUAGAGGCAUUGAUCGAUUCUACUAAAAUAAGGUUGUCUGACUCGAUGAUCAACCGAUCUCGUUGUCUUCCAGUGUCUAGCAGAUGGUAAAGAGUGAUAGUAAGAGCCAUGAACUCUACUUGUGGAGCUGUCGAGGCGUUGAAAUCUCUGGUGAGUCCAUCAACCAACCUCCCAUUUUGACCCCUACAAAUACACGCCAUAGUCCCUGUUUUGCUGUGAGGUCGAAAAGCUCCAUCUAUAUUUAUUGGAAAAAGUAUUAGAAUACAUAAAAUAAUAAUAAUUAUUGGAAAUACAUUACAAAAGAUUAGAAAAUAAAAAGAAAUGUCUGAGGCGUGCAAACACUCGGUGCGUAAGGCUUCAGCAGCUAUCCUCCCAAGAUACAACAGACCUUCUUUUAUACUCCGCACUGAAUAUUAGAAGGAAACAGAACAACUUUUGUGUAUAACCCAACAAAAAGAAAAUGAAAGCUGUGAGAACAUAUUGUAUCUACUACGAUUGUGGUUUGAAGUUUAAUUUAUAUUUAAAAAAGGAAAAGAGAGAGCCGUUAAGAAAUUACAAUAAAUCAAUUGGUAAUUAAAAAGAUGACUGUUAUAAAAUAAUGAAGAGUUUAUAAAGUAAUAAAUCAAAAGUUAUAAAGCCGUUAGAUGACCAUUAUAUAACCAUUAGAAAGCCAUUAUAUGACCAUUGAAAAAGCCAUUACAAAAAUGAUAACUUUCAUGACGAUCAUAAUUUCUAAUUAAUAUUUCAAAACUACUUAAAUAUCCAACAAUCCCCCGUAUAUUUCAAAAAGUUCUGACAAGAAAAUAAAAUAAUGCUAGGUUAUUGAAGAGUAAUGCAUCGGAAUAGGUGCUUAUUAGGCUAUGAACCAACCCUAGAAAGAAUGAAAUAUAAUUCAUGAAAUCACUAGUGAAGUUUGAAACUUCUAUGAACCAAGAAUUUCUUUUUGUGAAUUAUAAUUUUCACCAAUCACAUUACACUCCCACAAACUUUGUUGUUCAACGCGGUUUUGCGCUAAUAGGCCAUGCGCGUGCUUGGUUUAUUCAUAAGUGCUUUAGAGAUUUUCGCCAAAAAUUCUCAUAGGAGCGGCCCCACCCCACACUUAUAUAGGUGAUUCCAUCAAGUGUAUUCUGCAAUUUAAUACACCACCAAUAAUGGCUAUAGAAUUUCAUUAAGAGCUUAGUUCAACCUCUUUUUCCUUGCAAUUUUGCACUAUUUUCACCUUAGGAUGGACAAUAAUUUUUAAUAGUGUACUAGAUCAACAAAUGACUUGUUAUUACCCAUAUGAAUCUAAUUCAUGAGAUCGCCAAUCACAUAGGUUGGGUUACUAUUAUUGUUUAUUUUCUUCAAUUGACUUGUCCAUUCCCCUCAAUGUAUAGUCAAAGGAUUGGCCAAAAUCCAUUUUUGAUUUCAUAUAAUUAAUGGACAUAAUUCCAUCAUUAAGCAACUGCUUUACCACGUCAUCCCUCAAUCGGAUUUGUCAAUUUUUAUCAUAUCUAUGCAUGGCUAUUGCCUCUUGGCAAUCAUGAUAUAUAAACACAAAAUGUGUCAUUUUCCCAAAGGAAUAUCUGCUGAGAGUUUCUCAAUUACUCGGCCUCAUUUUCAUAUAUGAGUUUGAGAAAAAAAAAUUCCUUUUCCUCAAGAACUUGAAUAGUUCACAAUUUACCAAAAAAAUAGUAAAUAUUUUCUUCUCCUUCACCCAUUGGAACCUAAGAGGAUAAGGCAUUUUGUUUACACAUAUAUGCCUGGUAGCACUUGAGUCUACCACCCAUAAUUUCUCGAUUAGCCACAAUAUUGGCAUGGGAAUGACCACAUCAAUUACUUCAUCAAAUCAUCUACUUCAACCAAGUUGACUCUUGGUUUAGCAGGAUUGCCAUUUCCCCCACGAUUUCAUUUGAUUGAUUUCCACCGGGUGAACACAUAUUUGUUAGUGGAUUUUAUCUAAUAUGAAUUCAAGAUCCAGUUAACAUCACCGUAUCCUUAUAAUACAGUGGAAAAUCCACUAUAAUAAACUUGACAAUAAUCACCUUUUAACAAAAUAUUUCACAAAAGACAUCAAUCUUAUUCAAUAUAGAUCUAUGUUGGCUAUGGAUGCAAAGAAAUAAAAAUAAAUUUCAUCUCCACAACAUUCACUAAAGGAGAUUCUCUUUCCCAAUACAGUAGCCAAUCAAGUCUCUAAUUAUCAUCAUGCAUGAAUGGACAUUCAACAUAAAUUGACAAAGUAAAUAUUCUUACAAAGAACAUUUUUUUUUUUACAUCAUUACUGCUGUCAAUAAUACAUGUUAUUCCAAAAAUGUUAACCAAAACUCAGAGGUUAGCAGAAAUCCAAAAUGAAUUAAUAAUUUCACAAAAUAACUAUAAGACUUCCUUUGAGUGUUAUAUACGAAUCACCAAAAAUGUCUCAACAAUGCAUACUCAAUACAAAACAUGUAAUCAAUUUAAUUAUGCAAUAAAAUACUAUUUAAUAAUUCUAUCAAAAGUUAUGCGUGAAAAAUUCGAUCGUUGCAAAAGAGACAUUACAAUCUUUAACCCAUAAAUUUGUGGCUAUUAUUCUAAUAAAUUCAAGAAUAGAAUCACAGCAAUUUUGACAAGAAAAAUAUUUGAACUAAAACUUUAGUAGUCAUAAAUAUACUGCCAACAAUGUUUUACACUUGUAAAACUCAAAGUAGACUUUAACUCUUUAAGCAACAUUUAAAUGUCUGAAAUGUGAAAUAUAAAAAAUAUCACAAAAGGCAGGAUGCAAAAGGCAUACUCACUAAAUUGCCGAUUACGCUAAUAUAGCUAGAAAAGUAAUUAAUGGCAAAUAUUGGGGUGUAUCAUUAGUCAAUUGAAUAGUAGUCGCCCAAUUAUUCUUUCAGCUUGUGCUUGCUAAAUUGGGUCUCCAUUCUAUUCUCUUUCUAUCAAGCAUAAUUCCAUGUCGUUGAGAAGGCAAGAAUCUGCCACCAUUCUAAUGCUAGAGAAGUUCUAUAUGUGCGUGGACGAGAGAGAAGUACCAUAUCUUCAUGUAUUUAUCAAACAUACACAUUGUCAUGCAGCAAAUACCAACACAUGUAUGAGCAUAUACAUAAAUAGAGGCCCACGCUGCACUUCCAAGCAAGCAUGAAUAAAGAUAUGCCACCAAAUACCAACACAAGCUCGUGUCUACACUUACUUGAGCAUAUUGGCAUGGACAUCACCAACCGAAUAAUGAUUGUAUGCACUCUAGCAUAUUCCCAAGAAUGACAAGACAAAACUGUGAGGAAUACUUAAGAAUUUUGUUCCAUAGUCAAAUGGCACCUAUUUUCAAAAUCUAUAAGCACAAUAAUAUAAGGUAAAAAGAGCGUAAUUUUAGUGGUAAAACACAAAAAUCCCACAUGACAGCAUCCAUUGUUUCGCUAAAAAUAAUUAUAUAUAACCUGGUCCAACAUGGGCGAGCUCGAUAAGUUUCUGUAGAGAUGGAGCCAAAGACAAAUUAAAUAACAGGCAAAAACAGUUAUAAACUGGCUUCAUGAAUGUACAUUAAACAAAUGUUAGCAAGAGAAUAGGAAGAAUUAAGAACAAAUGGAAACUAUUUUGAGUAACAGAGAAGCGCCCCAAUUUCUAAUCCUAAAUGGAUGAUUAUUAAAAUAAUCACGAACUUGAGAGAGAAAACACCUACACACGUCCGACUUUCUAUUGGAAAAACAAGUAUAGGUAUUAAAGCCCCAAAAUAAAAAUAAAUAUAUAAAAGAAAUAUUAGCCCGAUUUCUUUCCAUUUCUUUUAUGGUUUUCCUUUUCUAUUUCUUUUUAAUUACCACACGGAAUCACUAUGUCAUUUUUAAAGAUUUUCUACAUAGGUAAUUUUGAAAAUUUGUAAGCAUCUUCCGUAAAAGUAUAAGACCACACAUUCAUGGAAUAUGUCUAACAAGAUCAAAUCAAAUCUAAAGAGAACACACAAGCUCGUAAUGCCAAAUUUCACAUAUUAGAAUGAAAGGAUCAUGACCUAUGUGAUGAUUAUUCCUCAAAAUGUGGAAAUAGCGUGCCAAAAUGGCAAUUACACCUUUCAAGUAUUAAUUUAGAAUUUCCAAAAAACGACAUACUUGAAACUCAAUAACCUUACCAAAACGACCAAAAGCUAUAUUGUGUUAAUGCUUGAUACCGUCCCAUGACAAACCACCCAAGAAUAUGUGAUACUCGUCCUUCACCAUCUCCAAAUCCUUGUUUAAUUCCAACGUCAGUGGAAGCACCAACAGUUCCAAUUUUGAAAGCUAUAAGGGAAUUAUCCUUAAGAUUGUUGGGAAAAGUAUUAGAAUACAUAAAAUAAUUAUUAUUAUUGGAAAUACAUUACAAAAGAUUAGAAAAUAAAAAGAAAUGUUUGAGGCGUGCAAACACUAUCCUUAAGGAUAAUUCCGCUCCUCGGAGUACGUAACUCGGUGCGUAAGGCUUCAGCGUCUAUCCUUCCAAGAUACAACAAACCUUCUUCUAUACUCUGCACUGAAUAUUAGAAGGAAACAGAACAACUUUUGUGUAUAACCCAGCAAAAAGAAAAGGAAAGCCGUGAGAACAUAUUGUAUCUACUAUGAUUGUGGUUUGAAGUUUAAUUUAUAUUUAAACAAGGAAAAGAGAGAGCCGUUAAGAGAUCAUCAUAAAUCAAUUGGUAAUUAAAAAGAUGAUUGUUAUAAAAUAAUGAAGAGUUUAUGAAGUAAUAAAUCAAAAGUCAUAAAGCCAUUGGAUGACCAUUAUAUAACCAUUAGAAAGCCGUUAUAUGACAAUUGAAAAAGCCAUUACAAAAAUGGUAACUUUCAUGACGAUCAUAAUUUCUAAUAAAUAUUUCAAAACUACUGAAAUAUCCAACAAUAUUCACCUUAAUGCAGCCUGGAUCUGGAGGUCUCCACAGUUCGCCAAGGUUGAUUUGCAGCUGUCCUAUUGCUGCUCUUGUUCCUGUUCCCGAUGAUUUGCAAUGGGAUAAACAAGCAGCUCUGGCGGUGGCGAGGGCCACUUCGACAACUUGCAUCACAUCCAACGCUGGCGACGAAAUAUAAAACCAUUACGCGCUUUCCAGAUUUGCCAAAGGACAAAGGCCACCAUUUCUAGAUCGGGUGAGGAGUAAUUUAUGUUGAAACUAUCUGCAAUCCAUUCGUCAAGUCUCUGUAUUCCCUGCAGAUCUAUUUGAAAGUUGAUUUUCAAGUGCGACCAUAUAGAUUUCGUCCAUGGACAAAGUAGGAAAAUAUGCUCUACUGUUUCCAGUAUUUGGUUUUGGCAGAGAGUACAUACGUCGAUGAUAUAGAUUGGCUUUAGUGGGAAGGGCAUUGUGACAUAGCGACCAUAGAAAUACCCAAACUUUGGGCUCUAUCUUCAGCUUCCAUAGUUGUUUCCAUAGAAUCGCCAGAGUCUGGUAAGAGCAUAUUGCUGUAUGUUGAUUCUUUGUGACCUCGGCAUUUUUUAUUGCAUGGUAGCCGCUUUUAAUGGUGUAAUCACCAUCAGUAGUUGCUGUCCAAAUGAGCUUAUCUCUGACAUAAACAAGUCUAACCUGAAUUGCGAGAAUUUCUUGGACAAUAGAUUCAUCGUAUAAGUUAUGAAGCAGUGGAAUAUUCCAGUCAUGUGUCUGCAUGUUGAGCAAUUCAGCAACCUUAGCUAGUUCAUUGCAGUUUGCAGGUCCUUCCAAAAUGGAUUACAUAUUAAUACAUAGACUCUUAUUGAAUGCUUAGGUGUAAGGUUUUGAUAUGAGCCUCUUUUCUUUAUCUUUUUUUGGUAAAUAUUCAUGAUGAUUUGCCACAUCUGACAUCACUUCGUACAUUAAGGUCAUAAAGGUUUCUAAUUAUAAGGCCACAUUAUUAUUUUCAUUGUGAUACUAAAUUCAUAGUUAUGUAGUGACAACCACAAACUUUUUAUAUUGUAUCACUGCUACAAAUCAUGUGGUUUGACUAAAUCCUACCAUGCUUUUCUCUAUGAUGUAAUCUCCAAUUUGUGCAAUUCUUGCUCUGCCGAAAAGUUAUUAAUUUUAUUUAUUGAUAAGUCGCUUGUGUUCUCUCAAGCUUUACCUAAAAACAUUAAGAAAAUAGAAAUUAUAGAUUGGGAAUGGAGAAGGCUUCCCACAACCACUCUUUGCCAAAAAAAAAAAAAAAAAGACCCAACAAAUUUGUGGCAUUGAAUAAAUCCAUAUCAGAACAACUGGAAUUGAUGAUGUCAGGCGCGACUAUUUUGCACGAUAAGAAUGUAUCCUAAAAUAAAUAUAAAUUAUAAAAUGAAAACUUAAAUAUAAUAUGACAUGACAUGCCACACUUAACUUCAUAUUUGAACACAAACUCACAAACAUAUAUAUAUAUAUAUAUGGUAAGUACAAACUCACAAAUAUUAACGUGGCUUCAUCGUAUUUUAGUUAUUUGGCAUAUAGAAUCAAAAUCUAUAUGUUUCUAGGUCUACAUAAAUUCGAAUUAUAAUAUUAAUCAUGACAUGUCAACACGAACUGUCACCCCUAAUACCAAGAGUAACUUGCACGUCAUCCAUACAUCUCUCGGUACACAAGAAGAGCUGAACCCAACAACAGCAGUGCCACGGAAAGUAGAGCCGACUGUACAGCGGCUGACAAUGGAAUGCGUCCUUUAUCCGACCUUACCAUCCCUUCAAUCACAGGGUAGCUCAUCACCAGGAUGAAGAACGACAGAGCAAUCUGCGCAAGCAACUUGUCCCAACCUCCCAAGACGAGCACCCGAGCGAUUCCUCCGACAAAGGAAGCCAUGCUCAACAUCACUAGAGCCACUAUCGGGGCCAAGAACACGAUCGAUGUUCGGAAAUCAAAUACGCCCUUUUCGUACAUCUCCAUUUGCUCGUCAUCGGCGACUUUGCUAGUAGGCAAGAAGCUCGCUCUCCUCACCCCGGUUUUCGUCAGAACGGCAUUUAUGCUCCCGUAUAGAUAAGUGGUCACCGAGUGGAUCAUCCAUAUCCGUUGCUCGUUUAUAAACGUCCGGACCGAGUGACCACUCACGACGACCUCGUAGAGAUGCUUGGAAAGUGAAGAUAGGAAAACGAAGCAAUACACGAGGAACAAUGAGCUCGAAACCUGGCGUGCCAAAAGAAUCGAUGUUCAUGAGUCAUGAUUAUAUGUUACUCAUGAGUCAUGAUUAUAUGUUACUCGCGUUCAAUAGCAUCAAAGAUUUGAUUGGUUCACGGGAAUGAAAAGCCUACAUAUGAGAAUAGCUUACCUCCGGAUAAAUGGGGACGCCAUUGAAUAGACAUAUCUGGGGAAUGGUGGCUAAGCAGCAGAGAGGCAAGCAGUAGAGGGGGAAGAACGCAAGCUCGGUAUAACACAUGCUCUGAAGAAUGCUCAUUCUCCAUGGUCCAUAAAUCGGAGGAGAGAAUCUGGAGAACCCGACCUGAGCCAACCCGGAACUCCAUCUUGUGACUUGAACAAGUAGGUCAUUCAAAUUUGUCGUGGAAGCCCCCAAAAAUUGCGGCUGCGACGGGCGACAGUACACUGAUUUCCAUCCUUUGCAGUGCAAGGCGAAGCUGGUGAAGAAGUCUUCCGCCACAGAUCCAUACUUGAAACCGAC
RNAcentral lists this long non-coding RNA (83789 nucleotides) under Eucalyptus grandis. Its description in RNAcentral is "long non-coding RNA (EGRA_LNC002600)". The record is from RNAcentral. Lineage: Eukaryota; Viridiplantae; Streptophyta; Magnoliopsida; Myrtales; Myrtaceae.